RNAcentral lists this long non-coding RNA (67333 nucleotides) under Coffea arabica (coffee). RNAcentral's name for it is "long non-coding RNA (CARA_LNC007267)". Lineage: Eukaryota; Viridiplantae; Streptophyta; Magnoliopsida; Gentianales; Rubiaceae. The record is from RNAcentral.
UCCUCCCCCAGUUUACCUGUCUCCACCUCCACCCUAUCAUCACUACUACGGUUCUCCUUCUCCUCACCACUACUAAGCAAGUGCAUAAGUUUUGAGGUAAUAAUACCUAUCCAAAACUUUAUCAACACAAACUGCCAUGUAUAUCAUGCUAAGGACGUACACUUGAUCCAUGAAAAUGACUAGUAGAAGAUUUUUUUUAAGAACCAAAGAAAUACAUUAUUUUUUCGGUCUGUUUUCAAGAAUUUGAGCAGUAUACAGAUUAAAGAGUGUUUUUUUUUUUGUAAACUUGCUUGUCAACUUAAAAAUGCACAUAGCUGAAAGCCAACUGAAUAUUUGCAGGCAAAGGAGAAGGCAAUCGGUGUUUGAGACCUUCAAGAAGAUGUAGAAGAAUAAGAAUAAAAGCCCAAUGCGAGGAUGAUUCCAAGUUUCUACGUUACCAUUUCUACAUCUAAAUUGACUUUAGCUCCUGAGUUCCAUGUUUAUGGGGUUUGUACCGUUUUACGUACCAUGCAGUACAUGCUUGCAAGGUUUUCUGUCCUGUUGGCAAACUGCAGGUCCAUAUAAUAAAUGAAUACUAUUUACAUUACGACACUUUUCUCUUUUUCUCUUAUAUUUUGUCUUUAAUAUUGUUGAUCAUUUUUUUUUUAUCAAAAGCAUCAAAUGCUUAGGUAAUUUGGUCUAAUGCUAAUUGUUUUACUUUUAUUUUUCACCUACACCCCUUUUCAACUCAAAGGAUGCUAUAGUUUGUGAUAAUUGUUUAAGACCGAAGCAUGAUACUAAUAAAUAUCUCAUUGAAAGUCAAGGAAACUAACAUUAGGAAAAGUUUAAAUCUUGAUUUGAUGAAACUAUUUAUUCGUGGAAUUUAGAGAUACAAAACUCAAAUUGUGACGGUGUUGUUGCUAAAUUAUUAAGGACAUUAUCACCAUUAUUUUUCCCUGAUCACUAGUUUCAACUGCAAUGAUCUCAAUCUUUUUGUGACUAAUUCUUUCCUUAAUAAUUUAUAAAGACAAAACUCACAAAGAAUAUGUGACUAAUUCUUUCCUUUCGUCUUCUAAAGAAAAUGCCAACUGUUAGUUUAUCAAGGGGAAAAAGGAUCGACAUCAGUUAUUAUUGAAACUAGUAAGGAAUAAAUAAUGGUGAUAAUGUCCUUAAUAAUUUAACAACAGCACCAUCAGAAUUUGACUUUGAGCUUCGGUCUUAAACAAUGAUCACAAACUACAGCAUCCUUUGAGUUGAAAAAGGAAGUAGGUGAAAAGAAAAGUAAAAAAUACAAUUAGCAUUCCCUCAAAUUGUAGAAAGUUAGGUAGCAUUAUAGACAAGUUGAUAGCGGCAAUUUUACAUUUCAAACUUCACCUAUUCAAUAACUAAUUCGAUGGCUUGCUACAUGGUCAAUCUUUGGACCCCUUCCUGCCUCCAGAUAUCCCUUUCCUCAAUCAGGGGCUUCUACAAUUACCAGUUUCAAUUGUAUGGUAUAGUGUAAAUAUCAACAAAUUAGAUGUAGAUGCUAACAUAAUAAAUGUGAAUGCUAAGACAGCAACAUACAAUCGAACCUGCAAUUGUAUGAACCCCAAUCUCGCUUCCUAGUCCACCAUCUUUCUCUAGGUAAUAAUCUCCCUUCUAAUUUAUUCACAAAAUGCACCUUUCAUCACCUCCAAUAGCGUCGACAUGAUCUUUACCCUAGAAGACUAUUCACCGACUCUCAAUUGACGUCAGAAAAUCUAAGAGUAAUUCUACUUUACCCUAAGAUUGAUAUCAACAAGACAAGGACAAUUUAGAAUUAUUACACGCCUCUUCUUAAUAGGAAAAAGAAAUAGAGAAGAAAGUCAGGCCAGGUCUAAUUUCUUUUCAAAGGCAAUACAACAUUACGAAAUCAAGCAUUCAUUCAUACAAAUAUUUCAUAGUCACCGGUUUGCUGAGUAGAAAAAUUUAGACAAAAACUUAAUAUUAUAUUGUUUAAGAGUUAACAAUUUAGAGCUUAAUCUCCUUGUACUUUGGAGUUAACAAUUUAGAGCUUAAUCUCCUUGUACUUUGGACUAAACUUGAACGUGAAAGGAAAUCCCAAAACCAUAUUGGGCAUGAAUUCACACUUAAUAUACCCAAUAAAAGAUGGCGACUGGUGAAAGGCAGUGGAGACUGGUGGAGAGAUUUGAGGAAUAGAAGCAGACGGAAAAGCAACAAAUUUUUGCCGAAAAACGGUCACUUUCAUGGUUAAUUUUGCUACUCUCCAAUUGUACUUGACCAAUUACAACAAUUUCAUGGAGUUUGAUACGUGAAAAGAAUUUUUUAUAAAUUUUAUUUUGAUCCAUAAUGUUAUCUUUACAUAUAUAAAACAUUUUACAAUUUUGAUUUUGGCGCAGCUAACUUUUGGUUAACAAAAAUGCUCAUGUUUAAAAAACCAGAAAUAAAACAAAACAAGAAACAAAAGAAAUAAGAGGGUAGCAUAGACAUUUUGGAUUUUUCCGUUAAUUUGGAUGAUUUCCACCCACGUUCUAAUUUAAUCCAAAACACAAAGGAAUUACGUAGAGGUUUUAAAUAAUCAGGGAGCUUCAUGAUCGAACCCCAAACCACGUGAUAGCAUACAAGAGUUCUAUUUCACUAUCGGUAGACAAAGACUUUCUAUGGUUGAUGUACCGUAGGAAAAAAUCUGCCUAUACAACGUGAUAGCAUUUUUUCAAAAACACAAGAUGGAAAAUUGCCCCCUUAAACGUGGAAAUUCAUGAUCUUUCCUCGAACAAAGAAUACUCACGCCUAUUCAAGAUGGAAAAUUGCCCCCUUAAACGUCUAUUUGUCAAUUCUUGAAAAAAGAAUACUCACGCCUAAAACACGGCCUCUUCAUCUGCAGAAUUCUAAAAAGUUACGUAAACUCUAUAAACAAGUUGAUAGGUACAAUCGUACCCAAGAUCAAGUACAGAUAGUUGUACAUUCACUGCUGCAAUAACUAAUCUGAUGACUUACAAACAUAUCAUGGUCAAUCGUUGAAUGGUAAUGAGUCUUUUGUUAUGCAUUAGUAUUAGUGUGUACACUCUAAUAGAUUGAUACUUAUACUCUUUAAAUUAUCAUAAUAAUACCCUUAAUUAACUUUAACUCUUAAAAAGAAUACGUGUUAAUACACGAGAGUGUGUAACCUGAAUUGUUACUUAUACAUUAGUGUGUAAUAGAUAGGGAUGGCAGUGAGGGCGAGUGCCCGCGGGGGGCUCUCGGGGCGGGGGCGGGGGAGAAUUUUUUCCCCCCGUUUAGAAACGGGGCAGGGGACGGGGGAGUAUACCCCCGCCCCAUCCCCCGCCCCGCCACCCGCAAAAAAAAUUAUAUAUAUAUAAUUAUAUAUAAUAUGUAAUUUAAUUAGUUAUAAACUUAUGAUAAUGAUAUUAUUAGUUAGAUGUAUUAUAUAAUGUAUAUUAGUGUAUGUAAUAUAAUUAAUAUUAUCAAUUAUACGAAUAAUUAGACAUGUCCACUAAUAGAGUUUAUUAAUUAGUUAUACUAAAUUUACUAAUACAUUUGUACUAAAUUUCUAAUUACACUUAAUAGAAUAACACUUUUUUCUAAAAAAAAAAGCACAAACACAAUAAUGAAUUAGUGAUUGUAUUUGUACCAAAAGUGAAAACUUAACUAUUUUAGUUGUAUUUAUUUCAUCAUGUUGGAUUGUAUUCAAAUAAUUUUUGUUUGAUUGUUUUUAUGAGUUUCAAUUGUAAAAUUAAAAUGAAUAAUAACUUGAUGAUGUGUUGAUAUUUUAGUACUUGAUUAUUUAUUGAUUUAACUAUAAUAAAAUUUUAUUUUAUUAAAAUUUAACUAUAAUAAAAUUUUAUUAACCAAACGAGUUAUUAAUCCCGCGGGGGCACCCACGGGGGAAGCGGGGCGGGGCGGGGGAGUGGGAGGCGGGGGACGGGGCGGGGGUGGGGGGAGUUGUAGGUAGCGGGGCGGGGGAUGGGGGAGGGGUCCCCCGCCCCAACCCCGCCAUCCCCCGCCCCGUUGCCAUCCCUAGUAAUAGACUGGCAAGCAUUGUGGUGGUCAUUGAGAACUUACUGGAGAAAUAGUCCUAUAAGCUGUUCAAUGAGCAAUCACAACUUGCUAAUUGGAUGACUAAUAUAGCUCUAGCUGUAAUGUUUUAAUUAAAUUACAUCACUAACGUUGGGAUGACUUUUUAACCAAAAAAAAAUGCCUUAGUUCAAGCUUUUCCCUUUAUUGUGCAUUUUUUAAAGCAUUUGAUAGGCACUGCAAAUCUGUCAUUUUGGACAUUUUAUUAUUGACUAACAAUGAAAGCCGUGACGUCUACCCAUAACCAACACAAGAUUAAAUUAAUAUUAGAAAAAAUAAUUGAGUAAUUGGAAAAAAAAAAAGAGACUCAUUUUCAUUGAAACCCACCGACAAACUAAACGUGUCCAUGGCUUUUGAAUAGUGCAUUCAACGUUUAAUUGUAUAGUCCAGUUCAUUGCAGAUUACAUGGAGUAAAGAUUGUGCUCUUUCCUUUUUCACCCCUUUUGGAAUCGAUACUGUGGAGAAUUGGGUUUUUCCCUUCUUUUUUUCUUUUCUUUCCUUCUGUGCUUUGCAAAACAUAGGUAAAAAUAUGAAAUCCGAAGCAUUCUUUAAUUGGGAUUAAGUAUUGUUGUUGAAAUUAAAAAGAAAAAAGAAAGAACAACAAAAUUCCCAAUCUGGGUUGAUUGUUGAGCUCUAGAUUGGUUGCAUCGUGCUUCCAUAGAAGCUCUCUUAGUGUGAUACACUGCUUUCAAUCAGUUUAACACGGGAAAAAAAAAAAAAGAGAUGAAAAGCAAAUUUGGUGGGGAUAAUUUCAGAAACCUCCCCUGAAGAUUUUGACUAUUCUACUGGUCUCCCUUCAGAUUUUAAAAAUUACACUAAUCUUCCUUGAAGUUAAUUAUCUUGUAACAUUUAAAUUCAAUCAAUAAUUUAAAAAAUGAUAUUAUGAGAGAGAAAAUAAUGAUUUUAUCAUUGCCCCCCAUCUUACUACAUUAUUUAAUUAAUUUAAUAGCAACCCACACAUUAAAGAAAAAUAUUAAAAUUUGUUGUUUAUCAUUAAAGAUCAAAUCGCUUAUAACAUCAAAUAAUAGUAUAUUAUUUAUAUUUUUCACUCAAUAUAAUAUCCAAAUUACUCUUUUCAAUUACAUACCCAUUGUUAGACAAUCAACAACAAAUAACCAAAAAAUUUGCAACCAAAAUAUUACAAAAAAAUAAACUUUAACAUAUAAAUAUUCUUAUCAACAUAUUAAAGUUAGUUACUGAAAUUUUUAUGCUGUUAAACUUCACUCUUUUUGGUUACAGAUUUUUUUGAUUAUUUGUUAUUAAUUAUGUUUGAUGAUGGAUUUAUAAUUGAAAAGAACAAUUUGAAACUUACAUUAAGUAAAAUAUAUAGAGUGAUAUACUAUUUUUUAUAACAUAUGUGAUUCAAUCCUUCUUGAUAGGAUUGGUAAUAGAGGUAGAGGGGGGAGCCGGCUGCAUCCGGUCUACUUUUCAUAGAUAGUACAAUAUUGCGAAAUCGAUCGCAUUCACGCAAUAUUAUUUCCAAGUCAUUGCAUGGCUAAGCUGCAAAAAAAGUACGAACACAUGUUAUUAUAUAGCUUACGAUUCAAAACUUUAGAGCAUAACCCUCCACCUAACACAAUUGAAUAAUGAACAUUCACGUUUGUCAAAUCUGUCAAAGCACAGUUUGAGGACAACCCAUUCCAACCUGCAAAAGAUUUUUUACUUUUCUAAAGUUGUUGAGAGCUGUAAAAAGACUUACCAUGCUUGCAUCCUCCGAGCCUUGGGAGUUAAAAAUGAAGGCACUGAGUGCUAUAAAAAGGGGAAUAGAGGCUGCCUAGAAGCAUAUCAGCCUAAAACAAGAAUUUGUAGUUAAGAUGGGAAGCAAAGCAAAAGCAAUGGGGUCUGGGCUGACUCCUCUUCUUGCCACUGUUUUAGUGGUGUUUGUUGCUCUUGGCUUGCCCUCACAAACUGCAGCUGAUGAUCACUACAAGUAUUCAUCUCCUCCUCCUCCUUACCACUAUCCCUCACCACCACCACCAGUGCAUAUACCUCCACCUCAUCCUGUUUACAAGUACAAAUCUCCACCACACCCCCAGUACAAGUAUAAGUCACCACCACCACCUCCUCAUCCGGUAUACAGUCUCCUCCGCCACCACACACCCAGUUUACAAGUACAAGUCACCACCACCACCUCCUCAUCCGGUACCACACCCAGUUUACAAGUAUAAGUCUCCUCCGCCACCAGUUUACAAAUACAAGUCUCCUCCACCACCACCUCCAGUGUACAAAUACAAGUCUCCACCACCACCAGUUUACCACUACAAGUCUCCACCACAGUUUACAAAUACAAGUCUCCACCACCACCCCCAGUUUACAAAUACAAGUCUCCACCACCACCAGUUUACCACUACAAGUCACCACCACCUCCUCCCCCAGUUUACAAAUACAAGUCUCCACCACCUCCUCACCACUACUAAGCAAUUGCUUCUGAGGUAAUAACACUUGUUCAAUAUACCCACUUCUGCAUGAUAAAGCAUAUCUCUAUCAACACAAACUGUCAUGUCUAUCAUGCUAAGUGCCUUCACUUCAUCCACCAAAAUGACUGCUAGAAAAUUUUUUUUAUGUUACCAAAGAAAGGCAUCAUUUUUUCCCUCUGUUAUCAAGAACUUGUACAGUAUAUAGAUUAAAGAGUAUUUUUUUAACUAGCUUAUCAACUGAGAAAUGCAUAUAGCUGAUAGCCAGCUGAAUAUUUGCAGGCAAAGGAGAAGGAAACCAGUGUUUGAGACCUUCUUGAAGAUGUAGAAGCAUAAGAAUUAAAGCCCAAUGUGAAGAUGAUGAUUUCAAGUUUUUCUACGUUACCAUUUCUUUAUCUAAAUUGGUUGUAGCGCCUUAGUUCCUUUGUUUAUGGGAUUUGUAUCGUUUUACGUACCAUGCAGUACAUGUCAUGUUUGUAAGGUUUUCUAUCCUGCCGGCAAACCGCAGGUUCCAUGUAAUAAAUCAAUACUAUUUAUAUUACGACACUUUUCUCUGUUUCUCUUAUAUUUUGUCGUCUUUAAUAUUCUUAAUCAUAUUUUUAACAAAAAUAUUCAAACACUUAGGCAAUCUGGUCUAAUGCUAAUUGUAUGUUUUACUUUUCUUUUUCACCUGCUCCCCUUUUCAACUCAAAAGGAUGCAAUAGUUUGUGAUCACUGUUUAAGACGGAAGCAUGAUACUAAUGAAUAUCUCAUUGAAACUCAAGGAAACUAACAUUGCGAAAAGUGUAAAUCUUGAUUUGAUGCAACUAUUUAUUCGUGGAAUCUAUAGUUACAAAACUCAAAUUCUGACUGCGCCAUUGAUAAAUUAUUAAUGACGCUAUCAUCAUUAUUUAUCCCUAACUAGUUUCGACUACAACUGAACCCAAUAUUUUCCCCAUGAUAAAAGUUUUUGACUAUUUUACUGGCCUCUCUUCAAAUUUUAAAAAUUACACUAAUCUUCAUUGAGAUUAAUUAUCUUGUAACAUUUAAGUCCAAUUAAUAAUUAAAAAAUGAUAUUAUGAGAGAGAAAAUAAUAUAAUUUUAUCAUUGCCCCCCAUCUUGCUAUAUUAUUUAAUUAAUUUAAUAGCAACCCACACAUUAAAGAAAAAUACUAAAAUUUGCUGCUUUUCAUUAAAGAUCAAAUUGCAUAUGCCAUAAAACAUAGUAUAUCAUUCUAUAUGUUUCACUUAAUGUAAGAUCCCAAUUGUUCUUUUCAAUUACAAACCCAUUGUCAAUAACAAAUAACCAAAAAAUUUGCAACCAAAAUAUUACAAAAAAAAACUUCAACAUCAUAAAUAUUCUUACCACCUCUAGUGCAUUCACCCUCAUAAAAUAAUUCAAGACCCUACUGUCAUAAAAUGACUGAUCAACUCCCGUAAACCUAAUUUGACAACAUUUAAAUGGAGAACUUUAGCUAAAAGAAUUAUGGUCAAGCUAAAGAAAAAACCAGUUAUUUUCCAACAUAUGCAAUCAUUGAUCAGGGAAAAAAAAAAGAGCAAAAAGACAUCUUCAAUCAUUUAAUAGCUUACAGGGCAAAUUAACCCCUAAGCGAAAACUGGUUGCUCUAGAAUCAAAAUUUUACUUUAGUUACCCAGGCAACUUUUUUGUUGCUUUUUUUUUUUUUUUCCUUUAGUUUUGCCCCCUCUGUCAAGCUUAUAAAAUUAUUAAGAUAAUAAAAGUGCCUUGAAUAGUAUUAAUAUAUCCAUUGACUUGAGCUGUCGUCAGUUUGCGAUUCCAUGAGGCCUUUUCAAAGUACUCAGAAAAUGGGGAGUCAUGAAAUCCAUUUGUUCUAUUCAUUGCUAAGAUGCUUUUCUCUAUAAAGAGACUUCCUAACGAAAAUACUUUGUAGAUUUCUUUACUCCAAGUGGUGCAUGGAAAAUUAAUAUUUUCAAUUAUCAAAUAAAAUUCCCUUUUUUCGGCGUAGAUUUCAUCCAUCCAGCUGUUAACACAUUCUAUAAAUCCGAAUUGACUAAUCUUUUCGUUUCCAUUUUCCAACUUGCGAAUACGGCAUAUAGUGUCUGCUAAACACUAUAUAUUCUCUGCCAAAUAUGAAUACAUAUCACUUUUCUGAGCAAGUGCAGAGUCAUUAUCAUUUUUAUUCCCACCUAACAAAUUAGGGAUAAAAAAGUUAAUAAUCUUUACAUGCUAUCAGGUCACAAGUUAAUAAUCUUUUAAAGAACAUGUUAAAUUAAUUUAUUGGUAUGAAUAGUAGUCAAAGAAGUAUGUUAAAGUUAGUAAUCUUUAAAAUAAUAUGUUAAAAUCAUUCGUACAAAUUAGUCAGAGAAGUAGCAUAAACACCGCGAUGCAAUUAAUACUUUCAAUCUCAAGGUCUCUAUUAUGGAAAUUUGCAUCGGUCAAUAUACACUUGGCAUAAUAUAAUCUCCCAACUCAUUUCUUUACAAAUGCACCUUUAAUCACCACCAAAAGGUGUGGACAUGAUCUUUACCCUAGAAAACUAUUCACCGACAGGCAAAUUGACGUCAGAAAUACUGAGGAAUUCUAGUUUCCUUCGGGUUCAUGCCAUGUUGUAUCCUUCAACUGUAACUCGAUUUCUAAGCUGUAAUUUGUGACAUAAUAGUCCUUAAACUAUGAAACCCUUCUUACUUAAUUACAAUGGUUAAUACAAUGCCCGUGACUAGACAAGUAUGAAGCAACCAUAACAGAAAAAAAAUCCAAAAUUAGAGAAAAGAAAGAAGUUUCGCGACCACCACCAGUUUACAAGUCACCUCCACCACCUCCUCCAGUUUACAAGUCACCUCCACCACCUUACCAUUAUUCCUCACCACCACCUCCAGUGCAUUCACCCCCACCACCACCAGUUUACAAGUCUCCGCCACCACCUUACCAUUAUUCCUCACCACCACCUCCUGUGCAUGCACCUCCACCACCAAUUUACAAGUCACCUCCUCCAGUUUACAAGUCUCCACCACCACCUUACGAUUAUUCCUCACCACCACCUCCAGUGCAUUCACCCCCACCACCACCAAUUUAUAAGUCUCCCCCACCGCCUCCCCCAGUAUAUAAGUCACCACCACCACCUCCUCCAGUAUACAAAUCACCUCCACCACCUCCUCCAGUUGACAAAUCUCCACCACCACCAAUUUAUAAAUACAAGUCUCCUCCACUACCUCCUCCAGUGUACAAGUCAUCACCACCACCUGCUUACAAGUCUCCACCUCCUCCAGUUUACAGUUCCCCACCACCACCAAUCUACAAGUCUCCACCUCCACCCUACCAUUACUACUACAAUUCUCCUCCUCCUCCUCGUCACUACUAAGCAAUUGUAUCCAAGUUUUUGAGGUAAUAACGCUUAACCAAUAAAUUAACUUUCGCAUGAUAAACCUUAUCUCUAUCAAGACAAACUGCCAUGUGUAUCAUGCCAAAUACGUACACCUAGAUCCAUGAAAAUGAAUGGUGAGGAGGGCCAUUUAGGCUCGGAGCGCCCUAGGCCUAGUUCCCCACCAUUUCCUGAAGUGCCGCCUCGGGUAUUAUCCUGGAAGGCGAUCGCGGCCCAUUUACCACCUCGGCUACAAUGUCAGGUCGUAACACCGAGGUGGACAUUGAAUGACAACUACGAAAAGGGGAGAUGUGAUCUCUGACACCUGAGCAAAGGCUGCUCUGACCCGCCGCCUGAAUCUGACAGAAUGUCCCAUCACGUCUCUUCAUGGAGACCGGUCAAGUCCACCUGAUCCACUGACUAUCUCAGAUCUUUUGGGACCCGUGCAAACAUCUCCUCUCUCCUAUCAGUCCCCUAUAAAUACACGAUACUUCUACUGAAAAAGGAGAUGACCAAUUUCUGGUAAAACACACUCCACUCAUUAUUUACUUCUCUAUAUCCGAACUGACUUAAGCUUCGGAGUUAUACCGGGGGAUCCAGCCCCUUUCUUAUCCAAGCAGGUGACUUCGUCCAAGAGAGUUGCCCAAGGUAAAGAUAUUCUUCCAAUUGAGGUGACUCACUCCUGCGGGUCGAAAAUCACCUCUUCAAUUGGCGCCGUCUGUGGGAACCGCAAAGAUAUUAGAAGAUGAAGCCUGCGCGUUCUAGAAGCAGAAAAGCUCUCACUAUCGAGGCUGGGCAAAGCAAUGCAGCUCAACAAGAAAAUAUUUCUGAAGGGCAGGAGUCCCCAAGGACUCAGCCCGCAAACGAAAAAGCCAUAACCCGUAUGGCCGAGUUUGUGACCGAGAACCCCAACAUCUUUGAAGAGUUGGGAAGAUACCUGAAGAGGCAAGGCAAACAAAAGGCCGAGUCCUCUAAAAGGAUGUCAGAUGGGUCUCUUGAGGACUCAUCUGAGGAGGAGUCGGAUGGAAGGCACUUAAGCCGAAGUGCCUCAAAGCGAGCAUUUUCUAAGGCCACUUCUAAGGUAGCCUCCCUGACCAAGGCGUUUUCCCGAGGGCUCUUGGGCCGACGACCCGAGGAAGAACCUCGGCCCUUGGGAAUACCCGGGGUGGACUGCAUGAGGGCUCCACCGUUCACGGAUGAUAUAAACGAGGAAAGGCUUCCUCCCAAUUUUAAGCUCCCCGCAGUACAAUCUUACGAUGGCCGAGGUGAUCCCGAGAAUCACAUCCAUACCUUCAUCUCGGCCUUCCAAAUAUACUGCAUCCCAGACCCUGUCAUAUGUCGGGCCUUUCCAGUAUUCCUCAGAGGAACUGCUCGAAAAUGGUUCUGAGCUCUAGAACCUAGGAGCAUUUCGACCCUGGGUGAAUUAGUGGAGAAGUUUCUCCACCGAUUUGUCUCCUCCCGACCUACGACUAGGACCUCGGCUUACCUGCUCACCGUGCAGCAGAACCCGGGAGAGUCACUCCGGUCGUACGUCCGGAGGUUCCAUGAGGAAAGCGUUCAGAUACCUGACCCCAAUGAGCAGGUAACCCUCGCUGCCUUUACCCAUGGACUCGUUGCCGGGGAGUUCAAUACGGGGAUCCAUAAAAAAUACCCCCGCACACUGCAUGAAUUGUGGUUGAAGGUUGAAAAGGGCAUACAGGCCGAAGACCUCCAUCGCAUGAAGAAAGAGGUCCAAGCCACCCGUCCAAGGGCUGAGCCCAGAAAGGGAAAAGACGCUGGCCGAACUGAAGUAGGGUCGGGAAGUGGCUUCCGAAGUCCUGGCCGAGACCGCCGCAGCGUGUUCGACAGGAUAUCCAAGGGGAAGUCACCUAUUCCCGAGUCCGAGUUGACUCCUUUAAAUACUACCCGAUCUCACGUGUUGUCCGUGAUGGAACAAAACAACCUCGGCAAGGGCCCGCCGAGGAUGUUUGGAAGCAGAGACAAGAGGAACUCGAACCUCUACUGCUUGUAUCAUCGUGACAUUGGUCACGAAACUGAGGAUUGCAACGAUCUCAAGAAGGAGAUCGAGAACCUCAUUAGACGGGGACACUUGAAACAGUUCAUCCGCAGAGGUGGAGGUCACCAACGUGACGAAAACCGGCAUGACAAAUGAGGUGACCAACGCCGAGAUGAGCGGCGGAGCUCCAGAAGCAGUUGCCGACCUCCUGAGGAUCCCAGGGAGACGAAAAGGCCUCCCCCAGACGGAUCUUCGGGACAUGGGCCAACCAUUGCCCGGGUCAUUAACACCAUUGCCGGAGGUCCGACGGGAGGGGACAGUCAGAACUCCCGGAAGAGAACCUAUAAGCAGGCUAACCCGGAUCAGGCCGAGUCGAGUUCUCGCCUGUCCGAGGUGAUCACCUACGGGCUCAGUGAUCCCAUCCCAGCUGCAUCCAGCAGUCAUGAAACCUUGGUGAUUGAAGUCCUCACCAAUAACUACAUUGUGAAAAGGUCUACAUAGACCCGGGAAGUUCAGUUGACGUCAUGUACCUCCGUACCUUUGAGAGCCUUAAAAUGGCUAAGGGGUGCAUGACCCCGCUGAGAACCCCUCUUGUAGGGUUCGGGGGACACGUGGUGCACCCCGAAGGGAUGGUGACUCUGACAGUGACCAUAGGGCAUCACUCUCGCUGUAGAACCGUCCCUGUCAAUUUUGUGGUGGUUAAGGCUGACUCCCCAUACAACCUACUUUUAGGUCGGCCUACGCUCAAUGCCUUGCGGGCGGUCUACUCCACCUACCACCUGAGCUUCAAGUUUCCUACCCCAGCAGGGGUGGCCGAGGUCAGCAGCGACGUCUGUGCUGUCCGGGAGUGCUACCUCGCCACCCUACAAGCAGCCUCCCCGUCUACCUCCGGUGCGAGGUCCGAGAAGAGGUCAAAUAUCCUCUCAAUAGAUAGCAUCGAUCCUCAGUGAGCUGAGAAGGUCCCGAGGCUGGAGACUGGGGAUGAGGUGGAAGAGAUUCCCCUGGACCCCACGAAACCUGAUCAGACAGUUCGCGUUGGUACCCGAUUGCCCGGUCCUAUCCGAAGAGGUAUGAUGGACCUCCUCAGGGAAUACCGGGACGUCUUUGCUUGGGCCGCCGAAGAGGUCCAAGGAGUCCCGCACCAUCUCAUGAUGCAUGACUGAACGUCGACCCCCAAGUCCGUCCGGUCAAACAGAAGAGAAGGCACAUCGGCCCUGAGCGCAGCCAAGCUGUUGGUGAGGAAGUGGACAAGCUUUUACCCGCUAAAAUAAUCCGAAAAGUCCAAUACCCGAUCUGGUUGUCUAACUCGGUCAUGGUCAAGAAGGAUACGGGGGCUUGGAGAAUGUGCGUCGAUUUUACCGACCUCAACAAAGCCUGCUCCAAGGAUUGCUACCCCUUGCCCAAAGUCGAUACUUUGGUAGACUCAGCAAUGGGCUACGAGAUCCUCUGUUUCUGGGAUGCAUUCAAAGGCUAUCACCAAAUUGGGAUGAGUCAAGAAAACCAGGAGAAAACGGCCUUCUACACCGACCGCGGCACGUACUGUUAUACUACCAUGCCAUUCGGGUUGAAGAAUGCCGGAGCCACUUAUCAACGCUUGGUCAACCAAGCAUUCAAGUCUCAAAUCGGCCGGAAUGUUGAGGCCUAUGUAGAUGACAUCCUCCUCAAAAGCCAGACGAACUCCACCUUCCUGGCCGACUUGAAGGAGGUCCUUGACAUCCUGCGGAAGGUGAAAAUGAUGCUGAACCCCAAGAAAUGUGUUUUUGGGGUCACCUCGGGGAAAUUUCUAGGUUACCUCGUCUCAAGGCGAGGUAUCGAAGCAAAUCCGGAUAAGGUGCGAGCCAUCCAGGAGAUGUCUCCACCCCGGUGCGUCCGCGAUGUCCAAAGGCUGACAGGGCGAUUAGCCGCCCUGAAUCGGUUCUUAUCGCAGUCGGCAGCUAAAGCACUGCCCUUUUUCAAAGUGUUGAAGAAAGCUGACCAUUUCUCCUGGACGGAAGAGUGUCAACAGGCGUUUGAGCAGUUGAAGGAUUACCUUCACUACCUUCCAACGCUCACCUCACCUCGUCCGGGGGACAAAUUAAUCUUAUACCUUUCUGCUGCGGCCGAAGCGGUGAGUGCCGUGCUGAUAAGGAAGGAAGGGGUCCAAAUGCCCGUCUACUACGUUAGCCGAGUCCUCCGAGGUCCAGAGACCAGGUACACACAAGCAGAGAAACUUGUGCUAGCCCUGAUCCACGCCGCCCGCAGACUCAAGCCCUACUUCCUAGCUCACCACGUCUGCUUGAGGACUGAUCAACCACUUCGGCAGAUUUUGACACGACCAGAGGUUUCGGGACGUCUUACCAAAUGGGCCAUUGAGCUGGGGGAGUACGACCUAACUUAUGAGCCUCGCACAGCGAUCAAGGCCCAGGCUCUCGCAGACUUCGUAGCCGAGCUCACCUUUGACGAGGUGCAAGGAUCCGUCCCGGCUGCCACAUCGGCCACAGUUGAUGUGGCCACCACUGGGCUCCAGCGGUGGAUCCUACACGUGGACGGUUCGUCAACAGUGAGGGUAGUGGAGCAGGCUUGCUCCUCGAAGACCCCCAAGGAGAAAUAUGCUAAUAUGCCUUAAGAUUUGACUUCGCUGCUUCAAACAAUGAAGCUGAAUACGAAGCCGUCAUUGCUGGACUGCAGCUAGCUCGCAAGCUCGGGGCCGCACACAUCUUGGUUUAUAGUGAUUCCCAACUCGUCGUGUGCCAGAUAUUAGGUGAGUACGAAGCCAGGGACGAGGUGAUGCAUCGUUACCUCUCCAAGGUCCUCCAGUUGGCGACUCACUUCGAGUCUUUUGAAAUUCAAAGAAUACCGCUAUCGAAAAACAGAAGGGCUGACGCCCUCUCCCGGCUUGCCUCAACCUCUUUCUCUGACCUGAACAAGACGGUUCUCGUUGAAGUUCUAGCCGAACCAGGAUAUGUAGCCGAGGUAGUAUACCCCGUCUACCCUGGGGACACCUGGAUGGGUCCCCUGACUCGAUUUUUCAGCCAGGGUGAGCUCCCCGAAGACCGAGCUGAGUCACGGAAGCUCCAACGAAAAGCAGCACGGUACAUUCUCCGACAAGGCCUUUUAUACAAAAGGUCUUACCUCGGCCCUUAGUUGCGAUGUAUCACGCCCGAGGAAGGCCAGAGAAUCCUCCAAGACAUACAUGAGGGGCUCUGUGGUGCUCACGUCGGCUACAGAAUGCUGGUAAAAAAGGCUUUGUUACUUGGGUAUUUUUGGCCCACUAUGAGGAUAGAUGCCCAGGUCAUGGUCCUUUGCUGCCCCUCCUGCCAGCAUCACGCUCCUGAGCACCACCAGCCGACCAAUUUAAUGAUCCCUAUCACCUCGUCAUGGCCAUUUGAGCAAUGGGGAACGGACAUAAUUGGCCCCUUUCCCAGAGCUCCAGGCAAUUAUACCUACGUGGUGGUAGCAGUGGACUACUUCACCAAAUGGGUCGAAGCUGAACCCCUAAAAAAUAUCACUGGUGCGGCAGUCCAGAAAUUCUUCUGGAAGAAUGUGGUUUGCCGCUUCGGCCUACCCCGGGUGAUCAUCUCGGAUAAUGGCCGACAGUUCGCCGAUAAUCCUUUCAAGGCCUGGUGUGAGAACCUCGGGGUCAAACAGCAUUUCACUUCGGUGGGACACCCCCAAGCCAACGGACAAGCCGAAAACUUCAAUCGCACGCUCCUCCAUGGCCUCAAGACCAGGCUCCACCAGGCUGGAUCGUUUUGGAUGGAAGAGCUCCCCAGUGUGCUGUGGUCCUACCGAACUACGCCGAGAUCAGCAACCCAGGAAACCCCGUUUUCCUUAACCUACGGGUCAGAAGCUGUUGUUCCAGCCGAAUUCAUCACCCCGAGUCCACGAAUGGCCGCAUAUGCUGCCGAAGUCAAUGAAGAAGAACGGCGAGUUGACCUCGACCUCGUCGAAGAGAAGCGUGAUAUGGCCGCGGCCAAAGUUGCUGUUUACAAAAAUAUCGUAGCUGGCUACUACAACGCUCGGGUUAAACAUUUGCGGUUCAGUCCGGGAGACCUGGUGCUCAGGAAGAACUCAGUCAGCCGGGCUGAACCUCAGGGUAAACUAACCCCCAAGUGGGAGGGACCAUACCGUGUUGUUGAGUCCAGCCAAAAUGGAUAUUGUAAAUUGGCAUACCGAGAUGGGUCUCUGAGUGCCCCGAACUUGGCAUGCUGAAAAUCUUAAGUUGUACUACCCUUGAGGGUAUGUGCUUUUAAUCUUGAGUUAUUUCACACUUAUUUUCAUUUCAUUAUAAGUGAAAAAUAAGGGGACAAAGUAGCAGUAAAGAGGAAAACCGAAUUUAAUUAAAAAGAAAGCAAGAAUAUGAACUCAAUUCCAUUGAAUUACAUAAAAGUAGAAAGCCGAGGUCACCUUUAAUUAGGAAGAAAGCAAGAAUAUAAACUCAAUUCCAUUGAAUUACAUAAAAGUAGAAAGCCGAGGUCACCUUUGACCUCGGCCUACAAUGACAAAAAAAAAAACAAGUGCCUCUAGGCACUCCCUACCCUGACAUCCUGGCCCCCCGUGGUCGCGCCACCCGUUUCGGCACCCUGUCCACCCUCAGCUCCUCCACCGGCCUGGUCGUCUUCAGUACCAUCUAGUUCAAACUCCUGGAGCCAUUUGUUGAAUUCGGCUCGGACUUCGGUUAGGUCUUUCUCAGUCCGGAUGCCCUCAGCCAUGCUGUCGCAUAGCUCCUUGGCAUCCUCGUUAUAGUGCGAAGUGCUCUGAAGGGACUCCAGUUGUUCAGAGGGAAGAAAGGAUGCCGCGUCAUUAAUAGCCGACGUGUACCCGAACAUGAAGCUUGGCCGGGUGAGCUCGCCGAGGUCACGGAUGAAGGACUCUGACGUCCGGAAGGCUUCCACAGCAGUGACCCCGGCCUUGUCCAUGGCCUCCCUGUUUGACUGUUCUUCUUGGGCCCUCCUUUUUUUCUCCUCAUCAAGAGCAGUCACCAGGGAAUUGUUCGCGACCUCGGCCCUUUUGUUAGCCGCCUUGGCCUUGUCACGCUCCAACUCGGUUGCCUUCAGUUUUUCUUCCAACUCGGCAAUUCUCUUCUGGAGCUCGGCAGGAGGCUCAUAGUUUUCCAUGAACUUUCCAUACCGUUGAAUCAUCUCGACAAAAAAAGCCGUGGUAGAGGCCCAUGACACCGAGGCGCUCUGCAUCAACUCCCCUGCGGAGAGCUUCCUAGCAUAAGUGCUAUCUCGUGGCAGCACUGAAUGCACCAAGAGCUCCUGAGCGACCAAAGGGUUCUUGCAGCGAUCGUUGAAAUUAAUCUCCCACUCUGGACACCAGUGUGAUCCGGGGUGUCUCUUGUCCUCCUCAGCUGCCUUGAAAGGCACAUGAUGGAGUUUGAACAAAGAUGACCCCGUGACGGGGUUCUCCGGAAAUAUGGUCACACCCUGACCCCGGGGGGGAGUGGCAAUCGUGACCCAGCGAGAAGGGAUUCCCACCGGAAUUGCCGAGGCUCGGGAACCUCCCGGAGUGGCCGAGGUGUGCGAGCCCUCGCCCACGAUCACCACGGCAGGCUCGCGGUCGCCCGACGCCGCGGUGGUUUUCUUAGCCGGCCUGGAAGAGGACCCUGCAGUGUCCUUGCGCUUUUUGGGAGCUCUUUUGACCACCUCGACAUCUCCCGAGGUUAUCAGGUCGAAAAUCUUCGUCACUGCAAAGUAGGAGACGAAGUCAGUUAGAAUUCAAGAGGGAUAAACUAAAAGGGAAGAAAUGGAAAAAUACAAAGUCUGUGAAGCCUAGUCGAGAGUAAGACAGGCUGGUCAGAGCUCGUCAAGGCUCAACUGAUCCCGCCUUCCACGAGCACCACUUCGGGAAAAUCCCAGCAGUUUAUCCUGAGGCCCGACCCCGUUAACUUCUGGAAGUUACGCUCUUCUAACUUCCCUGGAGAUAUCUCCUUGAUCGAGGUGGGAGGCCUCCACCAGAAUCCGCGAGGGAAGUCAUCGGCCGAGACGAAGAAGAAGUUUUGCUUCCACUCCUUUAUUGAGUUCGGAGCAUCAACCACCAACUUCGGAACUUUGUUUCCGAAGUAGAACCAUCCUUUUUCACUUCUGCUGUUCUUGAGUGAGUAACAGCGGCGAAAGAGGUUGACCUAAGGUUGUAUCUCCUGAUGUCGGCAAAGUAGCUGGAAGCCAACGAGAAUGCGAAUAGCGUUAGGGGUGAGUUGAGUGAUUCUCACCCCCCAGUACCUCAGGCAGUCCCGAAGAAACCUCGUCGUGGGCACUCUGAGUCCGGCCUCCAGCUGUUCCUGAUAGAUAGUCACCUUGCCCUUUGGUGGCAGUGCGGCUGACUGAUGCGGUUGGGGUAUGUAAAUACUAUAAUCCCUUCUCCAGGGAUACCUGCGGACCACCUCGGCUAUUGAGGCUUGUCCCAUACCACUACUGAAGAACGGCAUCUGGCCGUAGUCGAGAGUUGCCACGUUUGGAGGAGUGGAAGGUUCUUGUACUCCCUCGUCUCUAGGGAUCUCAAUCCCGAGGUCAUCGUUGUAUAGGACCUCGGGCUGGACCUCGAUCUCCUCGGGCUGCACCUCAACCGCCUCAGCUCGGCGUGAUGCCUCGGCACCUCCACCCUCAGCUUGGUGAGAUGCCUCAGCACCUCCGCCCUCGGACGCGGUCCUUUCCUGGGAGGGGUCAGGCCUCUCUGCCUCAGUGAGGUCAGGUCUCACUGUCUCUUUGUGCGUACGAGCUGUUCUAGCCAUUGUAUCAGAAGGGGAAGAAGUGAACUUACUUAGAAUCUGCGACUGGAAGAAGAUGCCGAAGUAGACGUGGUUUAGAAAGGUUGCCGAAGUGAAAAGAGAAAGAAACAGAGUUCUGGGGUGAUUCUUGAUUUUUGGUGAAGAGUAAAACGGUGAAAAAAGACCACUAUUUAUAGGCCACCAGGGUGAAACCCAAGAGACGGCACCCUCUCUCUUCAUUAAUGGGAGGACUGUUCGUCUGCCAACACAGCUGACAGCCGUCCCUUCAGUUAUCACUCAGUCCCAUCUAUGCGGUCAUGACGUGUCCGUGUUCCGUGUUUUAUACGCUUCUCAGCUUCGGGAAGUAACGACCACGGCGGAUGCCCAUCUCGCCCUUCUCAAAGCUUGGGGGGCUUAGUGAGGAGGGCCAUUUAGGCUCGGAGCGCCCGAGGCCUAGUUCCCCAUCAUUUCCUGAAGUGCCGCCUCGGGUAUUAUCCUGGAAGGCGAUCGCGGCCCAUUUACCACCUCGGCUACAAUGUCAAGUCGUAACACCGAGGUGGACAUUGAAUGACAACUACGAAAAGGGGAGAUGUGAUCUCUGACACCUGAGCAAAGGCUGCUCUGACCCGCCGCCUGAAUCUGACAGAAUGUCCCAUCACGUCUCUUCAUGGAGACCGGUCAAGUCCACCUGAUCCACUGACUAUCUCAGAUCUUUUGGGACCCGUGCAAACAUCUCCUCUCUCCUAUCGGUCCCCUAUAAAUACACAAUAUUUCUACUGAAAAAGGGGAUGACCAAUUUCUGGUAAAACACACUCCACUCAUUACUUACUUCUCUAUAUCCGAACUGACUUAAGUUUCGGAGUUAUACCGGGGGAUCCAGCCCCUUUUCUUAUUCAAGCAGGUGACUUCGUCCAAGAGAGUUGCCCAAGGUAAAGAUAUUCUUCGAAUUGAGGUGACUCACUCCUGCGGGUCGAAAAUCACCUCUUCAAAUGGUAGAAAGUUUUCUUAAGAACCAAGAACAGCAUUAGUAUUCCCUCUGCUUCCAAAAACUUGUGUAUUAAAUAGAUUAAUGAAUUGUUUAACAUGCUCAUCUACUUGAAAAUGCACAAUACCCAUAACCCACUGAAAUUUUUGCAGGAAAAGGGAAAGAGAAUCUGUGUUUGAGAGCUUCAUGAAGAUGUUGAAGAAUAAGAAUAAAAGCCCAAUGCGAGGAUGUUUUCAAGUUUUUCUAUGUCCACUUUAAUUUGUAAAUUGAAUUUUACAACUCAAUUAAUUCCUUGUUUGUGAGGUACGUAUUGUUUUACGUACCAUGCCGUACAUGUUUGUAAGGAUUUCUAUCCUAUUGGCAAAAGUCGGUUCCAUACAAUUAAUCAAUUCAUUUCACUUCUAUUGGCUCUACUAUUUAUGCAUGUUACGACACUCUUUCCCUUAUAUUUUGCCUUUAAUAUUAUGAGUCAAUAGUAAUAAUGGGCCUUUUUCUUAAAAUUAUACUAUUAUACAUAGGUAGUUUGGUCUAACGCUAAAUUCAUGUUUGUCUUUCUUUUAUUCCCUUUACAUCUCAAAGUAUACUAUAGUUUGUAAUCAUUGUGGUGAUGAUAUUACCAGCUGGUACUUAUAGUUUAAGGCAGAGACAUGAUAUUAACAACUAUCUCAUUGAAACAUAAGUCAAAAUCAUGACAAGUGUGAGUCUUGGUUAAUGCACAAUUUGUUAGUGGAAUUUAUAUUUAUAAAACUCAAAAAAAAUUUUUGACAAUGCUAUUACUAAUUAAUUAAGGACUUCAUUGCUAUAAUUUAUCGCUUACUAGUUUAAACUAUAAAUGAUCUCAAUACUUUUCUCCAUGAUGUCGAUUUCUUUAGACUACGAAAGGGAAAAAUUAGUGACAUAUCCCUUACUGAUUACAACAUCAGCAAAAAUUAGUUAUAAACUUUUCCGGUGGUUUUAAAUCCCUCGGGCACUAAGGUUUUUUGCACAUCGAGUGAAUUAAGGAACAUAGGCAAUUCGUUCUGCAUACCAAGUCCUUGUUUAAGAUGCACGUACUAAAAUGCAUCCACUUCAUUAAUUUGGAAAAUUGCCAUAGUUUUUUUUAAGCAUUUUGAUUUUUUACAUGAUUCAAAAUUUUCUUAUUGGAUACAAUCACUUUGUGUCAAGAACACAUUUUCAAUCAUCUUUUUUAUCUUCUCAAUAAGAAAAUAAAAAUUUAUUCAUGCUUUUCUAACAUAUCCAAUCAUUGAUCUGAAAAAUAAAGAAUUAAAAAAAAAAGACAUUUUCAAUCAUUGCUUACAGGGCAACUUCCCCAUGUGAACCUCUUCAAACAAAGCCAAUAAUAUGAAGGAACAUCUAAAUACACUUUUGCCCUAAAGGCUGGUUGCCUUGGGGUCAAAAUUUAACCUUCGGGAGUAUAAUUACCCGCCAAAUUUAUUAUUUUUUAUGGGUAUAUAGUUCCAAUUUUGCCUCCUGUUAAGCUUAUAAAUAUAUUACGACCCAGAAAAUAAAGGAAUCUUGAAUAGUAACAUGUCCAUUGACUUGAGUUGUCAUCAAUUUGGCUACUUCGAUUCCAUGAGGCCAAUCCAAUUCACACUAGCUAGAGAAAAUGGUGAUAAAGGCACUUAGAAAUUUAUAUGUAAUAUUGAUUGGUAGUAACUGAUAAGUAUAUAUUUUACGUGUUUUAAAUAUGUUUUAUUAGUUAGUUUUGGUGUGUUUUAACUACUUUUAUAACUAAUUAACUAGGAAUCUAGUGAAAAUAUGCAUUUUGUGGUUUGAAGUGUGAAAAUUGUAUUUCUAUGGAUUUUAAUGGUGAAAACUUCAUGUUUUUGUAGGUUUAAUGAUUCAAUCAUCAAAUGACAUGAUUUGAGAAGAUAAUUAGAUGAUUGAUGAUGUUUUGAAGUGAUAAAAAGAGAAUACAAAGUGCAAGAGAGGAAAUGCAAUCAAGAAUAAAAGAAGAAAAUUUUUGUAGCUUUGACAUAUUGUGGUAUUUUGGCAAUAUAUUGAGCUACAAUGAUUGGAUUAAGGUGAUUCUUAAACCAUUUGAAGCUAAGAUAUAGAUCUACAUUUGGUAUGAAGGCAUCGAAACCCAUGUCAGUCAUUUUCCUUGUCAAAAUGUUGAAAUACAGAAGUGCAACUCUGUUCUCGAAAGCUAAAACAGAGCUCUGGCUAGUCGAGGGUAUUUUCAUCAUUUCUUAGUCCACAGAGCUCCAAAUGAGAUGAUUCUUAAGGCAUUAGAACCCUAACUCAAAGAGCUACAACUUUCAUAUUUUGUACAAGAGUUAGUUCGGCCUCCAUCAUUCAGAAAAUAGUAGUUGAAGUGGUGCCAAAUGCAUAGAAGUGAAAACGCGAGCUAUCAAUACUCGACCUGAAGUCGCGUAUUCCUGAGGUCAUGCAUUCUCUUCUAUUUUCUGCAACUUGCCCUGCUUUCACAUAAUUUUUUCAUCUCAAUUCCAACUAUCAAUUUCGGCUAUAUCUGAUCAAGAAAAGUGUGGAAAGUUUGAAAGACAACUCAUAGGAGUUUCAAGAGUCAAAAAUUACAAUUAGAAACAACUCAUUUGGCUCUUGAAUCCUCUAUAAAUAGAGGCCUUUGAAGAACAUUUUCACAACUUUGGAAGGUUAGAGAAACUCCACAAAAACAUAGUCUUCACUAGAAUUUCCUUAGUUCAUUAGUUAGGGUAGUAUAGUAUAGUUAGUGUAGCUUUUCCUUCUUGUAUUUAUAGUUAGGUUUGAAUGAAGAUUCAGGAGCAAAGAUAGAGAGGUUGAUCUCAUGUGACAAGGGUGAUAUCUCUUCUACUACUUUCUCUUUUGUAUUUGAUUUCAUAUUUAACUAUACUACAAAUUUGGCUUUGUUUUUUUUUUUUAUCAUGUUUAGUUAAAGUUUAUGCCUAGAGUAUGGAUGACCUUUCUAUAUCUUGUUUGUGAUAUUUAACUGGUUAUUUGAUGAUGUUAUUUUUGAGCAAGUUAUUUAUCACUUUUGCUUUUCUAAUCGUGAUUAACUGGCCAUUAGUUGUGAUUAUCUAAAAGUGUUAAGUUUGUAAUGAGAAUUGGAGUUUAACACUAGUUCAAGGAAGUGAUAAAUUUAGGGAGUUCACUCAUGAGAGUAGAGGAACACCUUUGUGACCUAAGUGACUUGUUUCAUAUAAUUUCAUAGAAAAAAUGAACUUGUAAUUAAUUUCAUAACCACGAGAGUAAGUAUGGUUUAGCUAUAUGUAUAGUUGAUUCACUACGAGAGUAGGUUUCACAUACAUUAGAAAAUUACAUCAUAACUAGUCAAGAUAAUAUCAUUCAUUUAAUCAGUAAUCUCAUUUGCAUGAGUAGUAAGGCAUUCCAUAUCUCUAGGAGGUUUUUAGUAUUAUUUUCAUUACUUUUAUGUUUAUGGUAGUCUAGAUAAUAAUGGAGUUCAAAAACUACUAGUAAUUGAAAAUUUUCCCUGUGGGAUCGACCUUUAAUACCCUAUACUCGCUCUCGACUCGUAUACUUGCGAAAAAUCACGUGUGCGGUAUUUAGAAUUUAUAAAUGUAAAACUUGACUGUAGAUGAACUAAUUGAUAUAUGUAUACCCCGCACUCGUCAGUAACCAGCUUGUAUUGAUCCCAUUAUUGUGGAUAAUUGUGCUCUUAUGAAAAAAAAUUAUAAAAAAAUUAGCAAAAUUUAUGAUAACAAAUUAAAUUUAUUCAUACAAAUCAGUGAAAGAAGUAGAAUUUUAAAGACCAUGAUGAAAUUAAUACUUUCAAGGGCUCUAUUAGGAAGACUUCACUUGUUGGUGAAACUACACUAGCACAGUUAUAUGCACAUUUACUGUUUUGGUAUCUAAUUUCCUUGCCUUAAGUUGGGUGCAGAUGUUUAUAUUACAAAUAGAUGGUAUCAUAAAAUUGUUGUAUUCACGUUUGUUCUUUUUUUUUCUUCCUUAAGUUUUUUUCUUUAUUCUCGUGACUUCAAAAAUACGAACUCAAGAAAUUGGCUGCUUAAUCAAUAUGUCAUACAGGCUUCGCUAGUGAGGUAUAACUUCACAACUAGAGUCAAUAGAAAUUAUCAAAUGAUUUUUUAACAUCCAAAUUAAGCAAUAAAUUUUGUUUUCAUUUUAUGACAUAUAAUAGUACUACUUCAUGAGAGAUUUUAUAGUUUCUUUUAGGUAUCAUACCUACAAGUGAUAUUUGUCAUUGGAUAGUGACAGAAGUGUUAAUGAUUGUAAGAUUAAAUAUUGUUAAAUAUUGAAAUUUAAACUAUUUAUCUUUAUUGAAAGAUACAAGUUAAAGAAUCGUUCAAGGGGGCAAUUUUCCAUCUUGUCUUUUUGAAAAAACGCUAUCACAUUGUAUAGGCAUGAUAGGUUCAAAUUUGUCAUUAAAUUUAUGAUUGAUUUCCCUUUUAUUCAAGCCAAAUAUUGUUUUAAUUAUCAAAUUCUACUUAUAUUUGGUUAAUUGUACUAAUUGUAGGGCGGUAGAGCAAAAGUUGCUAAAAAUAGGUGAUUUUCUGCAAAUUGGUUGUCAAGGCUGAAGGAUUUGGGAUUCGCAUGUUCAAGGCCUGUUUCCAAGUUUGAUUCAAACUCUGGACAGUUUUAGAGGAAGAUUUGGAAGAUUUGAAAUUUCAUUAUUAGUUUUAUGGUUGAAUUAGGAAUCUUGGAAUAAUUUCUUUUGUGAUUUAUUUUUCUAUUUAGGAGACUAGUUGUUAUUUAGUAGUAGACUUCAAUUAGAAAACAAAGAGAAAAAGAAGGCCGGAAUCCCGCUUGAUUAAUACCUUGGCCAGGGAACAAUCUCGGUGGGGAGGACGGCCACUUAGCCUCUCAAUUCAUCUUGCUUUUCGUUAGUUUGAGAGGAAAACCAAUUGCAACUAGAUUCAAUGGAGUCUGGCAGAAUUUCUUCUAGGAUGCGUAGCUAAAUCCUCAAUUUUUAGUCGAAGGUCAAUUUGAAAAUUCGGUUCCAAAUAUCUGUGAAAUCGAAUUAUUUUACUUAUUUCUUUUAUUUAUUGGUAUUCGCACGUUUUCUGAUUUAACUUUUUAUGAUUGUUUUGUUAUUUGAAUGUCAAGGGUCCGAUAUUCGAAUUAACUUAAUAAUCUACUGCCAAAUUAACCGGUUAAAUCCGUAAUUGUUUGAUUGAUUAAUAUCAGUGGCGACUAGCGUGAUUGGUCCCAUGUUAGGAAAACGUCUGAUCUAAUUUAAACAAACCGUCGUAGCGUGUUUGUUGAUUAGGGUUGGACUUUUCUAAUUCUUAAUUCAAUUGAGAAAUUAAAUCUCCCGGUCGUACCUAAGAUUAUUUUUUUGUUAGCGAAAUAGUUAAUGGUCGUACCUUGACUAUCGAAAAAGUAAGGAAGAGUUGAUUGUUUAUCGCGUGUACGACAACUAUAAUCAAUCUAUUAAUGAGUAAUUGAAUUAUCUUUGCAUCAGUAAUCAGUUGAAUGGACCGUGUCUGAAAAGUUGUACCUUUGGCUAGAGUCUUAUCUGUUGUUGAUUCAUUCAUAUCUAUCUUCAUGCGUUGUUUUAAUUUAGUUAAUUAGUUAUUUUUAUAAAAACCCCUCAUCUCUGGACUCUAAAAGAAAUAAAUUAUUUCUAGUUCCUGUGGAUUCGAUCCUACUCACCGCUAUAUACAAAAUUUGUAUUUUUUUGAAUAAAUAAUUAUUAUUACACAGGCUUGACACCUGUCAAGGCAAAAUUUCCUUAACUUCAUCAUCUGUAGACGUAAACUUUCUACGGGUGAUAUAAUAUAAGGAAAUUUUGCCUAUACGAUGUGAUAGCAUUUUUUCAAAAAAGACAAGAUGGAAAAUUGCUCCCUUGAACGGAAAAAAUCAUGAUCUUUCCUCAAACUAGUCUACUAGUCAAUUCUUUACAAAAGAAUACUCGCUCCUAAACAUAGCCUGUUCAUCUACACUGUCCCGCAGAAUUCUAGAAAGUUAGGCAAAACUAGACAAGUUGACAGGUAUAAUCAUACCCAAGAUCAGGAACAAGCAGUUGCACAUUUCAAAAUUCGCUGCUGCAACAGCUAAUUUGAUGACUUACAACACUACACGGUCAAACUUUGAAUGGCAAUGGAUCUUUUGUUGUACGUCAUGAUGUAAUUUUCAUGUUACAUACAUUAAUAGGUUGAUAUCUAUAUUCUUUAAAUUAUCAUGAUAAUACCCUUAAUUAGAUUUAACUGAUAAAAAGAACACGUGUUAAUAUACAAAAGUGUGUAACGUGAAUGUUACAUUACUGUAUUGCAGAAGACCUAUAGUCUCUUCAUAUCUCUUCCUGCACGUAUCAAUUCGUUUCCUCUAGAUAAUAAUCUCCCAACUCGUUUCUUUACAAAUGCACCUUUUAUGUUUUAUUACCUCCAAAAGCCUUUACAGGGUCUUUACCCUAAAAAUCAAUUCACCGACUCGCAUUUGAUGUCAGAAAUUCUUAAGACGAAUUCUACUUUACUCAAAGAUUGACUGUUAAUAAUGAGACAGCGACCAUUUUGUAUUAUUAGACCGUCCUUCUUGAUAGGUAAAAGAAAUAGAGAGGAAAGUGGGUCCGUAUAUGGUCUUUUAUUCAUAGAUAAUACAACAUUACGCCAUCGAGCAUUCACACAAUAUUUCAAAGUCAUAGCAUGCCUAAGGCCCUGUUUGAUAGCUCAAUUUCGUAAUUAAAUUUAAUAGAUUCAAAUUUUAACACAUUUAAAUCAUUUGAUAACAAAAAAUUGAAUAUUUAAAUUAAUUAAGUAACACUGAACUUUCUAAACAAAACUUGCUUUCAAAAUUAAGUGAUAAGUUAUUCACUUAUCUUUGAAUGUGAUAUGCACUCAAAUAUAUUAAAUUUAAUAAUUUAAUGGAUUCAGAUUUCAGAUUUCAGUUUUAUUACACACCCUAAGUUGCAAAAUAAUACCAAAACUUGUUAUUAUAUAGCUUGAGAUUCAAAAAUUUAGAGCAUAAUUCUCAACCUAACACAAUCGAAUAAUGAAUAUUCACGAUUGUUUCAAAGUACAAUUUGAGGACAACCCAUUCCAACGCGUACACGAUUUUUAACUUUUCUAAAGUUGUUGAGAGCUGUUAAAAGAGAUUUACCAUGUUUACAUCUUCCAAGUCUUGGAAGUGAAAAAUGAAGCCACUGAGUGCUAUAAAAAGGGGGCUAGAGGCUGCCUAGAAGCAUAUCAGCCUAAAACAAGAAUUUGUAGUAACAAUGGGGAGCAAAGCAAAAGCAACGGGGUCUAGGCUGACUCCUCUUCUUACCACUGUUUUAGUGGUAUUUGUCGCCCUUGGCUUGCCCUUGGAAACUGCAGCUGAUUAUUACAAGUAUUCAUCUCCUCCUCCUCCUCCUUACCACUAUUCUUCACCACCACCUCCAGUGUAUUCACCUCCACCAACCCCUGCUUAUAAGUUACCCCCACCAUCUCCUCCAGUUUACAAGUCCUCACCACCACCUUACCACUACUCACCACCUCCGGUGUAUUUACCUCCACCAUCUCCAGUUUACAAGUCACCACCACUACCCCCUCCGGUAUACAACUCCCCGCCUCCACCAGUGUACAAAUACAAGUCCCCACCACCACCUCCUCCAGUUUACAAAUCUCCAUCGCCACCAGUUUACAAAUACAAGUCACUCCCACCACCUCCUCCGGUAUACAAGUCUCCUCCGCCACCUGUUUACGAGUACAAGUCUCCUCCACCACCUCCUCCAGUGUACAAGUCCCCACCACCUCCAGUUUACAAGUACAACUCACCUCCACCUCCUCCCCCAGUUUACCUGUCUCCACCUCCACCCUAUCAUCACUACUACGGUUCUCCUUCUCCUCACCACUACUAAGCAAGUGCAUAAGUUUUGAGGUAAUAAUACCUAUCCAAAACUUUAUCAACACAAACUGCCAUGUAUAUUAUCAUGCUAAGGACGUACACUUGAUCCAUGAAAAUGACUAGUAGAAGAUUUUUUUUAAGAACCAAAGAAAUACAUUAUUUUUUCGGUCUGUUUUCAAGAAUUUGAGCAGUAUACAGAUUAAAGAGUGUUUUUUUUUUUGUAAACUUGCUUGUCAACUUAAAAAUGCACAUAGCUGAAAGCCAACUGAAUAUUUGCAGGCAAAGGAGAAGGCAAUCGGUGUUUGAGACCUUCAAGAAGAUGUAGAAGAAUAAGAAUAAAAGCCCAAUGCGAGGAUGAUUCCAAGUUUCUACGUUACCAUUUCUACAUCUAAAUUGACUUUAGCUCCUGAGUUCCAUGUUUAUGGGGUUUGUACCGUUUUACGUACCAUGCAGUACAUGCUUGCAAGGUUUUCUGUCCUGUUGGCAAACUGCAGGUCCAUAUAAUAAAUGAAUACUAUUUACAUUACGACACUUUUCUCUUUUUCUCUUAUAUUUUGUCUUUAAUAUUGUUGAUCAUUUUUUUUUUAUCAAAAGCAUCAAAUGCUUAGGUAAUUUGGUCUAAUGCUAAUUGUUUUACUUUUAUUUUUCACCUACACCCCUUUUCAACUCAAAGGAUGCUAUAGUUUGUGAUAAUUGUUUAAGACCGAAGCAUGAUACUAAUAAAUAUCUCAUUGAAAGUCAAGGAAACUAACAUUAGGAAAAGUUUAAAUCUUGAUUUGAUGAAACUAUUUAUUCGUGGAAUUUAGAGAUACAAAACUCAAAUUGUGACGGUGUUGUUGCUAAAUUAUUAAGGACAUUAUCACCAUUAUUUUUCCCUGAUCACUAGUUUCAACUGCAAUGAUCUCAAUCUUUUUGUGACUAAUUCUUUCCUUAAUAAUUUAUAAAGACAAAACUCACAAAGAAUAUGUGACUAAUUCUUUCCUUUCGUCUUCUAAAGAAAAUGCCAACUGUUAGUUUAUCAAGGGGAAAAAGGAUCGACAUCAGUUAUUAUUGAAACUAGUAAGGAAUAAAUAAUGGUGAUAAUGUCCUUAAUAAUUUAACAACAGCACCAUCAGAAUUUGACUUUGAGCUUCGGUCUUAAACAAUGAUCACAAACUACAGCAUCCUUUGAGUUGAAAAAGGAAGUAGGUGAAAAGAAAAGUAAAAAAUACAAUUAGCAUUCCCUCAAAUUGUAGAAAGUUAGGUAGCAUUAUAGACAAGUUGAUAGCGGCAAUUUUACAUUUCAAACUUCACCUAUUCAAUAACUAAUUCGAUGGCUUGCUACAUGGUCAAUCUUUGGACCCCUUCCUGCCUCCAGAUAUCCCUUUCCUCAAUCAGGGGCUUCUACAAUUACCAGUUUCAAUUGUAUGGUAUAGUGUAAAUAUCAACAAAUUAGAUGUAGAUGCUAACAUAAUAAAUGUGAAUGCUAAGACAGCAACAUACAAUCGAACCUGCAAUUGUAUGAACCCCAAUCUCGCUUCCUAGUCCACCAUCUUUCUCUAGGUAAUAAUCUCCCUUCUAAUUUAUUCACAAAAUGCACCUUUCAUCACCUCCAAUAGCGUCGACAUGAUCUUUACCCUAGAAGACUAUUCACCGACUCUCAAUUGACGUCAGAAAAUCUAAGAGUAAUUCUACUUUACCCUAAGAUUGAUAUCAACAAGACAAGGACAAUUUAGAAUUAUUACACGCCUCUUCUUAAUAGGAAAAAGAAAUAGAGAAGAAAGUCAGGCCAGGUCUAAUUUCUUUUCAAAGGCAAUACAACAUUACGAAAUCAAGCAUUCAUUCAUACAAAUAUUUCAUAGUCACCGGUUUGCUGAGUAGAAAAAUUUAGACAAAAACUUAAUAUUAUAUUGUUUAAGAGUUAACAAUUUAGAGCUUAAUCUCCUUGUACUUUGGAGUUAACAAUUUAGAGCUUAAUCUCCUUGUACUUUGGACUAAACUUGAACGUGAAAGGAAAUCCCAAAACCAUAUUGGGCAUGAAUUCACACUUAAUAUACCCAAUAAAAGAUGGCGACUGGUGAAAGGCAGUGGAGACUGGUGGAGAGAUUUGAGGAAUAGAAGCAGACGGAAAAGCAACAAAUUUUUGCCGAAAAACGGUCACUUUCAUGGUUAAUUUUGCUACUCUCCAAUUGUACUUGACCAAUUACAACAAUUUCAUGGAGUUUGAUACGUGAAAAGAAUUUUUUAUAAAUUUUAUUUUGAUCCAUAAUGUUAUCUUUACAUAUAUAAAACAUUUUACAAUUUUGAUUUUGGCGCAGCUAACUUUUGGUUAACAAAAAUGCUCAUGUUUAAAAAACCAGAAAUAAAACAAAACAAGAAACAAAAGAAAUAAGAGGGUAGCAUAGACAUUUUGGAUUUUUCCGUUAAUUUGGAUGAUUUCCACCCACGUUCUAAUUUAAUCCAAAACACAAAGGAAUUACGUAGAGGUUUUAAAUAAUGAGGGAGCUUCAUGAUCGAACCCCAAACCACAAGGCGAUUUACUAUAUUUUACUCUUAAAUUUUGGUUUCAUCUCAUAGCAUACAAGAGUUCUAUUUCACUAUCUGUAGACAAAGACUUUCUAUGGUUGAUGUACCAUAGGAAAAAAUCUGCCUAUACAACGUGAUAGCAUUUUUUCAAAAACACAAGAUGGAAAAUUGCCCCUUAAACGGGGAAAUUCAUGAUCUUUCGUCGAACAAAGAAUACUCACGCCUAUUCAAGAUGGAAAAUUGCCCCCUUAAACGUCUAUUUGUCAAUUCUUGAAAAAAGAAUACUCACGCCUAAAACACGGCCUCUUCAUCUGCAGAAUUCUAAAAAGUUAGGUAAACUCUAUAAACAAGUUGAUAGGUACAAUCGUACCCAAGAUCAAGUACAGAUAGUUGUACAUUAACUGCUGCAAUAACUAAUCUGAUGACUUAUAAACAUAUCAUGGUCAAUCGUUGAAUGGUAAUGAGUCUUUUGUUAUGCAUUAGUAUUAGUGUGUACACUCUAAUAGAUUGAUACUUAUACUCUUUAAAUUAUCAUAAUAAUACCCUUAAUUAACUUUAACUCUUAAAAAGAAUACAUGUUAAUACACGAGUGUGUGUAACCUGAAUUGUUACUUAUAAAUUAGUGUGUAAUAGAUAGGGAUGGCAAUGGGGGCGGGUGCCCGCGGGGGGCUCUCGGGGCGGGGGUUGGGGCGGGGGGGAAUUUUUUCCCCCCGUUUAGAAAUGGGGCAGGGGACGGGGGAGUAUACCCCCGCCCCAUCCCCCGCAAAAAAAAAAUUAUAUAUAAUAUGUAAUUUAAUUAGUUAUAAACUUAUGAUAAUGAUAUUAUUAGUUAGAUGUAUUAUAUAAUGUAUAUUAGUGUAUGUAAUAUAAUUAAUAUUAUCAAUUAUAUGAAUAAUUAGACAUGUCUACUAAUAGAAUUUAUGAAUUAGUUAUACUAAAUUUACUAAUACAUUUAUACUAAAUUUCUAAUUACACUUAAUAGAAUAACACUUUUUUCUAAAACAAAAAAGCACAAACACAAUAAUGAAUUAGUGAUUGUAUGAUAGGGUGUAAUUUUACUAUUUAUUUUAUUAUUAAUUUCCCCUAUCACCUGACCUGAUGUGGAUUAAUUGCUGGAUUCUGCUCACUUUUAGUACUUUGUAUUUAUUUCAGGGAGUAGAACGGAAAUUUGAUAACAGGUGCUAAUUUGGCAGAAAAAGAGUCCAGAUGAUAGAGCUUGCCCCAAGGGCAUUUUUGGAAAGGAGAACUUGUGCCCAUCUUGGUAAUUUGGGAGAAAAGGGAAACAGACAAAAUGGGUCUAACAUGGAUUGGAAGCGGCCGCACAGUAGCAGGGAAGAGGGCAGACGUAAAAGCAAUUGCAGGGGGGAAAAGGAGUUUUUUUAGUUUUUAGCUUAGCAUCUGAUUUUCCCUGGGAGACUUUUGUUAAAGAUUUCCUUUUGGCUGAUAUUACGCAUGGCAGAUGGCUUUUAACUUAUUCCUCCAUCUUUGACUUUUCUUCUUUAGCUUGUGGCAGUGGAUUGCUACUUACGAAUGUCAGCACUUAGCCAUUCGUGGCUUUUGAUCUUUUCUUCCUUAGAAAUUCUGAGUAACCUCUUUUCCUUUGUGCGCCAGACGAAGUGAAAACUAUAAACUUUUGUAGUUUUUCUAUUCAUUCAAUAUAUUGAGACGAGUUGGAUUCUACCAAAUUUCAACGGACAUGGCCGCUGGUUUCUCUUCAAUUUUAUAUGGGCUUUGUUCAUCCAACAUGAACUAAUUUCACCACUCUAGUCAAGGAGCAACGAAGGCUCUGAUUUGCCUAAAAAUUGUGAGAUCGUUUUAAUUUAAUCUUUUCCUUUUAUUUAUUGGUAUCCGCACAUUUCUUGAUUGCUAUGCUUAUGGUUAUUUAAUUAAUUGAUUGUCUUGGAUCCAGAUAAUUAAUUGAUCUGAUAGCCUAUUGUCAAUUAGGGCAUUUAAAUCCGUAAUUGUUUAAUUGUCCUGAAAUAGUGACAACUGGCACGAUUAGAUUCGUGCCAGGGGGGAUAUGCGGGCUAAUCUAAAAUAACCCUGGUAGUGUGUUAUUUGGUUAGAAUAGGGCUCCUCUAAUACUAAGGCAAUUGGGGAAUUAAAUUCUACGGGCGUACCUAGGAUUAUUUCUUAAUUAGAGCAGUGAUUAACGGGCGUACCUUGAUCACCGACACAGUAAGGAGGGGUUGACCGUCAUCGCUUGUUUGGCAGUUAUAACCUAUUUAUCAGUAAAUAAUUGGGAUUGCCUUGCAUCAAUGAUCAAUUAGGUGAACCAUUGUUGAAGUUACUUCUUGGUUAGAUCUUUAGUUAAUAUUACCUUGAUUUUGGUGAAUUGCCAUUUGAUUUUUAGUUGCCUACUUUAUUUUAUUUUUAAUUGUUUCCUUGCUUUAAUUGAGUUAGGCCUUUAAUUAUUGUUAUUCUAAGUUUAGUGAAUUGUGGUUUAAUUCCUAAUUAGUUAUUUAUUUUUACUUUCUUAUUUGAAUUUAUUUGCUUGUUAUCAUUCCUACGAAAUCACCCCCCUGUGUUACUUUGGAUUUCUUAAGAAACAAAUAUACCCAAUCCCUGUGGAUACGACCCUACUUGCUCUGUUCACGAAUUCAUAAUUAUUUGUGAAAAGAAAUAACCAUUCCACUCGGGUAUAUCGGAUCAAGCAAAUUCUUCGGGAACAGGGUGAAUCAAGUAACCCAAUGCACACCUAGAGUCCCUGCUCCAGUACUUGGAAUUGGGUUUUGGUCAUUUUAACUGGCAAUUAGGUUUAAUUUUAUUAUUGCACAGGCUGACGACCCUGUCAAUUUUUGGCGCCGUUGCCGGGGACUGGCGUUAUUAUUUGUUUCUUUUUAAAUUCAUUCUUUGUCCUAAUUUUCUGGUUUUCUUCUAGUGUAUGCCUCGAUCUUCUCGUACAGGUAAUUUGAUUUUUGACCCUGAGGUAGAGAAGACCGCAUGUAGAACGAGAAAGGAAACCAGACAGCUCAGAGAAGAGCACUCCAGUGCUACAUCUCAGAGACCCGAGUCAGAAGUUGAACUAACAGAUUCGUUUGGUAACACUUCGAGUGACUCUGACCAGGAGGAAGACACCAUGGCUAAUGCACGAACAUUAAGGGAGUUGGCUGCUCCUGAUUUAACUCAGCAGCCUUUAUGCAUUACUUUCCCCACUUUAAAUGAUAACAUUCCAUUUGAACUAAAAUCUGGUCUGAUUCAGCUUUUACCCUCUUUUCAUGGUUUACCAGGUGAAGAGCCGUAUAAGCAUCUGCAGGAGUUUGAUGUCGUGUGUAAUAGUAUGAAACCCUCGGGAAUCACAGAAGAGCAGAUAAAAAUGAGGGCAUUCCUCUUCUCCUUGAAAGAUUCUGCGAAGGACUGGCUGUACUACCUGUCACCAGGUAGCAUCACCACGUGGGACCAAUUGAAGAAAAAAUUUUUGGAUAAAUAUUUUCCUGCGUCCAGGGCUGCAAGUCUAAGGAAAGAAAUUUGUGGGAUCAAGCAGCAUCCAGGGAAGUCACUUUAUGAGUAUUGGGAACGGUAUAAGAACUUGUUGCGCAGGUGCCCCCAACACCAAAUAAGUGAGCAAUUGAUCAUACAGUAUUUUUAUGAGGGGCUCCUUUUUAGAGACAGGAGCAUCAUUGAUGCCAGGGGGGAGGGUUGGGAUGGGUGGUACGGGGGGAGGGAGUGUAAGCAAGAGGUCUCGGGUUCGAGUCCUCCCGCUUACACACAAAAAAAAAGAUGCUGCAAGUGGAGGGGCACUGGUAAACAAAACCCCUCAGGAAGCACGGGAGUUAAUAGAGGGGAUGGCAGAGAAUUCACAACAAUUCAGUACAAGAGAGGAUGUCCCAAUACGUAAGGUGAAUGAGGUAGAGACACCCUCUAUGCAGCAGCAGCUAACUGAGUUGACCGCGUUUGUUAGGCAACUGGCUGUGAGAAAUGCAUCACAAGCCAGGGUGUGCGGGAUUUGCACUGGUAUGGGUCAUUCUGCAGACAUGUGCCCAAUGAUUCAGGAAGAAACUGCAGAACAGGUGAACAUGGCUGACCACGCGCCCGCGCCAAGGAAGCAGUACGACCCUUACUCAAGCACCUACAACCCCGGGUGGAGAGAUCAUCCCAACCUCAGUUAUGGAGAAAAUAGGCAGCCCAACAUUACACCGAACAGGCAGUCUAACUUUGUGCCAAAUAGGCCACCAGGGUACCAGCAGCAAUAUCAACCCCGACCACCUCCGUCCCCAAGCUCUGGCCCAUCUUUGGAGGAGAUGAUGAAACAAAUGAUGACAACUAUGGCUCAAAAUCAGCAAAUGACGGAGGCAACCAUUAUGCAAAAUCAGCAAAGGACGGACUCCGAAAUGAAGGAUAUAAGGAAUCAGAUAAGUCAAAUGGUCACAACAAUCAACCGUUUGGAUUCCCAGAACCAAGGUAAAUUGCCAUUUCAGCCCGAAUUAAAUUCGAAGAACGUGAGCGCAAUGACCCUAAGGAGCGGGAAAGAAAUUCAGGGGUCUGAACCUGUGAUCCCUAAGGAUAAGGAUGAGGAAAAGAUCGAAAAUGAGCUUGAAAGGGAGGACAGCAAUGGUGCAGAUCUAAAGGUACUUCCUGACCCAAUAAUUACAGCUAAAACUAACCCGCCUCCUUUUCCUAGCAGGUUGGAAAAAUCGAAAAAAGAGGAUAAGGAGAAGGAGAUCUUGGAGGUUUUUCGCAAGGUUGAGAUAAAUAUCCCCCUCUUAGACGCAAUCAGACAAGUACCAAAAUAUGCCAAGUUCCUAAGGGACUUGUGUGUCAACCGAAGGCAGUUGAGGGAAGAUGAACGGGUUAUUGUUGGGGAGAAUGUGUCAGCAGUCCUGCAGAGAAAGCUCCCACCAAAGUGCGGGGACCCAGGUAUGUUUACUAUUCCCUGUAGGAUAGGUAAUACUGUGAUAGAAGGGCCAUGUUGGAUCUGGGAGCAUCAAUUAAUCUCAUACCUAAAUCUAUCUAUGCUUCUCUAAAAUUAGGUCCAUUAAAAGAAACUGGAAUAAUCAUUCAAUUAGUUGACCGAACUAAUGCAUAUCCUGAUGGGUUGGUUGAAGAUGUGUUGGUAAAAGUUAAUGAUUUGAUGUUUCCAGCUGAUUUUUAUGUACUUGAUAUGGAUGAUGAUCACUCCCCUGAUCCCUCACCUCUGUUAUUGGGUAGACCCUUUAUGAGCACAGCACAGACGAAAAUUGAUGUUAAUAAGGGUAUCUUGUUCAUGGAGUUUGAUGGGAAAAUUGUGCAUUUCAAUAUCUUUGAUACUAUGAAAUAUCCCUCAAACUCCAACUUUAGCACAGUUUUCUCUGUGAGUGCUAUUGACCCUGUAGUGCAGGAAGUGUUUGAAACUGAUGGCAGGGAUGAGUUGGAGGUGGCUUUGACCAAGCACCUCGAGUUGGAGACAACUCCUGAGGUGGAAUGGAGCGAGGACCUAAAAUGCACAAUAGGUGCAUUACACUCAUUGCAGUCCACCACGAAAAGGUAUGAAGUCUUACCUAUUUUUACUCCCGAACCUCACCAGAGGGUGUUGCCAUCUGUGGUGCAGGCACCUGUACUAGAAUUUAAACCUCUAUCAGAGCACCUGAAAUAUGCAUAUCUGGGUGAUAAUGAGACACUCCCGGUGAUUAUCUCAUCGACACUGUCAAAAAUCCAGGAGGAGAAACUGAUCCGGGUCCUUAGAGAGCAUAAAGAGGCGAUAGGUUGGACAAUCGCAGAUAUUAAGGGGAUCAGCUCGGCCAUCUGUAUGCACCGGAUUAGACUAGAAGAGGAUGCCAAACCUGUUAGGCAGGCUCAAAGGAGGCUCAACCCCCUAAUGAUGGAAGUUGUAAAGAAAGAAAUUUUAAAAUUGCUAGAUGUGGGGAUUAUUUUUGCAAUAUCAGAUAGCCCUUGGGUAAGCCCGAUCCAGGUAGUCCCAAAGAAGGCAGGGGUGACGGUGGAGGCAAACCAAACGGGUGAGCUCGUGCCAGUGCGCAAACCCACUGGAUGGAGGCAGUGUAUAGACUACCGUAGGCUAAACGCCGUCACCAAAAAGGACCAUUUCCCUCUCCCUUUCAUUGACCAAAUGGUUGAACGUUUAGCUUGUAGAGCUUAUUAUUGCUUUUUGGAUGGAUUUUCAGGAUACUUUCAGAUAGCAAUUGCUCCAGAGGAUCAAGAGAAGACAACCUUCACGUGCCCGUUCGGGACCUUUGCUUAUAGACGAAUGCCAUUUGCGUUGUGCAAUGCACCUGCAACAUUCCAGAGGUGUAUGGUAAGUAUUUUUUCUGAAUAUGUGGAGAAAAUUAUUGAAGUUUUCAUGGACGAUUUCAGUGUGUAUGGUGAUAGUUUUGAUACGUGUUUAGAUAAUCUGAAAUUGAUCCUGAUAAGGUGUAUAGAGACUAAUCUUGUGCUUAAUUGGGAAAAAUGUCAUUUUAUGGUUGAGCACGGGAUAGUCCUGGGUCAUAUUGUAUCGUCUAAGGGCAUAGAAGUUGACAAGGCUAAAAUAGAUAUUAUUUUUGCAUUACCUUACCUCGCGAGUGUGCGGAAGGUGCGUUCUUUUCUUGGACAUGCAGGUUUUUAUCGAAUGUUCAUCAAGGAUUUUUCAAAAAUUGGAGCCCCGUUAUUCCAACUCCUACAAAAGGAUGUGACCUUCGAAUUCGAUGAUAAGUGUGAGGAAGCCUUCAACAAGUUGAAAGAAUUGUUGACCUCACCCCCAAUUAUCCAGCCCCCUGAUUGGAGUCUACCAUUUGAGAUCAUGUGCGAUGCCAGUGAUCAUGCCGUAGGGGCUGUAUUGGGGCAAAGAGUAGGGAAGGCAGCUCACGUCAUCUACUAUGCAUCCCGAGCAUUGAAUGGAGCCCAAUUGAAUUACUCCACUACUGAAAAGAAGCUUCUUGCAGUUAUUUUUGCUUUAGAAAAAUUCAGGUCAUAUUUGCUAGGUGCUAAAGUAAUUGUAUUUUCUGACCAUGCAGCAUUAAGGUACCUAAUGACCAAGAAAGAUGCCAAACUGAGGCUCAUUAGGUGGAUAUUGCUACUGCAGGAAUUUGACCUGGAGAUACGGGAUAAAAGGGGCUCAGAGAAUUUAGUAGCUGACCAUCUGAGUCGUAUACCCGUUGGAGAGGAUAAUGAACCAUUGAGGGAUGCGUUCCCUGAAGAGCACUUAUUUUCUUUAAAUUCUCAGUUGCCUUUGUAUGCCGAUCUGGUCAAUUAUUUGGUAACUGGUAAUUUUCCUGCAGGUUGACCAAAAUCGAAGAGGGAUAAAUUGAAGAGCGACGCCAAGUAUUUUAUUUGGGACGACCCGUACCUAUGGAAGAGGUGUGCAGAUCAAGUGAUGCGGAGAUGUGUAAGUGAAAUGGAAUUUCAAUCGAUUUUAGCUUUUUGUCAUACUUUUGCCUGUGGAGGUCAUUUGGACCCAAGAGAACUGCUCAUAAGGUUUUAGAAAGUGGAUUUUAUUGGCCUUCAUUGUUUAAGGAUGCCUAUGUGUUUUGUAAGUCAUGUGAUCGCUGUCAAAGGGUAGGUAAUAUACCCCGUAGAGAUCAAAUGCCCCAAGUCCCGUUGAUUUUUAUUGAAAUUUUUGAUGUCUGGGGUAUAGAUUUCAUGGGGUCUUUUCCUACUUCAUUUGGUUUUUUAUAUAUUUUGCUGGCAGUUGAUUAUGUGUCUAAAUGGGUGGAGGCUAAGGCCACUCGAACUAAUGACUCGAAAGUAGUUGCAAAUUUUGUCAGGUCUAAUAUUUUUGUGCGAUUUGGAAUGCCUAGUGCUAUUGUCAGUGAUAGGGGAACGCACUUUUGCAACAAAAUCAUAGCUGCGUUGUUUCGCAAGUAUGGUGUACUCCAAUGGGUCUCAACGUCGUACCACCCUCAGACCAAUGGUCAAGCGGAGGUGUCGAAUCGAGAGAUCAAGUCUAUCUUGGAGAAAAUGGUGCGCCCCGAUAGGAAAGACUCGAGUCAAAGGCUGGAGGACGCACUUUGGGCCUAUCGGACGGCGUACAAGACUCCUAUAGGGAUGUCACCGUACAGGUUGGUAUUUGGGAAGCCGUGUCACCUUCCAGUGGAGUUUGAGCACAAAGCUUUUUGGGCGAUAAAGUAAUGCAACAUGAAUUUAGAGGAAGCCGGUGCCCAACGAAAGUUGGAUUUGCAAGAAUUAGAAGAGAUCCGGAACGAGGCUUACGAAAAUGCACUAAUUUAUAAGGAGAGAAGCCGGAUAUUUCAUGAUCAACAAAUUUCAAGAAAAUCCUUUGAAGUUGGUCAGAAGGUCCUACUAUACCAAUCCAGGCUCAAGCUAUUCCCAGGUAAACUACGUUCCCGUUGGAUUGGACCUUUUCUUGUUACUCAUGUUUUUCCAUAUGGUGCAGUUGAAAUCCGGAGCGCUAAAACAGACAACAAAUUUGUGGUGAAUGGACACCGUCUCAAGCAUUACUACGAAGGAUUUUCAGGUGAAAAGGUGGAGACAAUAAGUCUAGACGCGCCACCGUGUCCUAAUCAGUGACAUUUUACUAUGUCUAGCCAAAGACAUUAAAGACAGGCGCUCAUUGGGAGGCAACCCAAUUGUCCCUUUUAAUUAUUUGUUUGAUUUCGUGUGAUAGUUUAAAUAUGUUUUCCUUGAAUUCGACUGAUUUUGGGUUUCAGUUUUCGUUUUUGCUGAAUUGUAGGUGACCUUCAGUCUUGACGCGCCCGCGUGAUGACAUGCAGGAAGCUCACGAUCAGAAUCGUCUGAAAGCUCUCUUGCCCUUUUGACGCACCCGCGUGAUGACGUGCAGGAAGCUCACGAUCAGAAUCGUCUGAAAGCUCUCUUGCCCUCUUGACGUGCCCGCGUCACGUUCGCAGGAAAGGUACGGGUUUCAAAAAUUUAAAGAAAAAAUAAUAAUAAUAAUAAUUUAAAAUUUUGAAAUUAACUUCCGUAAAAAAAAAAAAGAAGAAAAAAAAUUUCACCGUGGCUUAAAUAGAGCCUAAAGAAGAGAAAAAAGAAACAAUUUCUUUCUUUUUUUUUUCUUUUUCUUCUUUCUUCCUUCUUUCUUUCUUUCUUCUUUCUCUUUUCCCUCUCUCUUCUCCCCUGUUUCUUCUCCCCUGUCCGUCGCCCGUGCGCCCCAUCGCUGCUCCACCUCCACACGCACGCCGACGCUGCGAGCCACCUGCGACCCCAGCGCCAGAUCUGGACCAUCGCCGAAACCCGCAGCCUCCGCCACCUCCACCUGAGCUCUGCCUCGCGCGCAACCCAGCUGCUCUGCGCCCGAAGCUCCACCGCCGCCACAGCCUCCCCACGCAGCUCCCUGCUCACGCGGCCACAAGCCCAUUGGAAACGGGACAGAGACUGCCGCCGAGCCACUUGCCCGCGUGACCGCCGCUGUUUUCCACCACCUCCCUCACGCGAGCUCUUUCCCUCUCAGCAGCAAUCCACUUCACAGCGCACCCGCUGCGCGCCGUCGCAGCCCUCGCAGCUCCAGCCCGUCUGGUCUAGUCCGCCGCGCGCACCAACCACCCACGGACGCUACCCCCAUCGCUAACCCACGCGGCCUCCACUCCAGUCUGUCCGCCGCCGCUGCUCGUGUCUCCCUUGCGCACCUCACGCCACCCGCUACUGUCCCCUUCCGUUUGGUUAGCAUCCACGGUGGAGGUAAUUGGAGGUUAUUUUCUCAAUUGUGUGACUUCCGCCUGUGAUACUGGUUGCAUUAUUUUUGCUGGGAAUUGCUACUUCUUUUGGGUUGGGUUCAACUGUGCAAUUAAUUGGCCAACUGGAGCCAUUUGUUGGGAUUUUGGGUGAGCUGAAAUACUGCAUUUGUGUGUUACAUUGGGAGGUUUAUUGGGUACAUUCUAACCGCUGUUUUCCAUUGUUACUCUCGCUGGGGUGUCUAUUAAAUUGCGAUUGAAGUAUUUUGGAUAUUGCAUGUUGAGAUUGAGGUUUCAUUGAAUUUGGCCUACGUUCUGCCCCCAGUGGUACUGGUGGGAAUAUUUUCAAUUGAAUUUGUUACCUCUAGUUGGUUGGCUACAUUAUUAUGGUCGAAUUCCUAAGUUGUCGUCAUUGCAUUUGUUGAUCUUGAUUUGGGGCAUUAACCGGCCAACUGGAGCCAUCUGUGCGUUUUUAGGCGCUAUUAUUGGUUUCUUCUCCCUUAACUUUGUCAACUAUAUUUGGUUGGGUAUUUGGUUGACUGCCACGGACUUGUAACUGUGUUUUGCUUCUAAUUGACCAGUUGCACAGCAGUUUUUUUUUAAUUGAUAGGGUGGUUAUACCUCUGGAUAUUUGUAUCCACUGGUUUGAGGACAUGGUGAGACCAAAAUCCUCCUCUAGGUCUAGGACCCCUAGAACCUCGCAAUCCCAACCCCAAGCCUCUACUCUAGUCAAUACCCCUAUAAAUCAACCUACUGCUCCCGGUGUCCGAACCUGGUUAGGUAGGGGUAGAGGUGCCCACGUGGCUUCCGCCACUCACUUGGGAGGGCAUUUGGAAUUCACUAGAGCCGCCGAUCAGCGACGCUAUGCUCAAGCUUGUGAGCGGCGUAUCAUUCCGUGCAAAUGCGCGGACCACAUUACUAUGGUUUUUCUGGGGAUCCAAGGGGAGGUUGAGCGCAUGUACACCGCCAUUGGAUGGCGCCCCUAUCUGGAUAUUUUCCAGCCAGCCUUUGUCGAGUUGACUAGAGAGUUUUACACCACUUUUAAGUUUGAAUUACCGACUAGGUAUACUGUUGCGACUCCCGAUAUCAUUCACUUCCGUCUCAUGGGCCAGGAAUUCAAUUUCUCUAUCACCCAGUUCAAUCUGGCUUUCGGUUUCAUCACUCGGGAGUAUGCAGAGACUAGGGAAUACGGUGAGAGUGCCUGCGAUUUUGUGGAACCUUUCCUUACCGCCUACCGUGAGGUGUGGGAGGACAUGUCUGUGGACAUGCAGCGUUACGAUCCCUCUCGGUCUCGGAGCUCCUUUCUAGAGGACCCGAGUGCUCGGUAUGUUCAGCGGCUUUUAGCAUAUAGCUACUCGGGCAGAAAGAACAGCUUCGGUAUUAUCUCUCGGCCGGAGCUCUUCUUCCUUUGGUGUAUGAAGAAUGGGUUCAAGGUCAAUUUGGGUUGUUGGUUGGCGGCACAGUUCAAGACCGUCAUGGCAAAGAAGAACAAGCCGUUGAUUCUUGGGUCGUAUAUCACGUACUUGGCGGUCCAGCUAGGCGUUCUGAAUCUACAGGAUCACGAUUUGCACUUGGCCUGCGACAUGGAGUAUCUCACUGCUGACCGGCUAGAGAAGAUGGGGGUUCUGGAGCUUGUCGAUGGCCACUACCGAUUUGUGCCCCCGGGACCGCCCCGCGCCCCGCCUCGCUCUUCCUCCACCCAUUCGGCCCCAGUUGGCGGUGAUCCUGGCCCGUCGACAUCCGCUCAGCUCCCUCCACCAGCAGGGGCUGAAGAUUGGCACCAAAUCAGGACGCAGAUUCAGAAUUUGGACGCCCGGAUGAUUAGCAUCGAGAGCAACGUGGCGGCUAUAUCACAGAAUCUGGCGGCAUUCCUGCAGCACUCGGGUUUCCCGCCCCCAAUCCCACCUCACCCUCCACUAUGACCCGGUUUCAGGGAAGUUUGGUUACUUUCUCCCUCACUUUUGUUGUUUUUUGACACAUUGAGGACAAUGUGUCCUAUAGGUGUGGGGGGGUCUAUAGUCUUUCUAGUUUUUAGUAGUUGUUAGUUUUUAGUUUUUUAGUAGUUUUAGUUUUAUUUCUAGUUGCGUAUUUUCUUUCUUUUCUUAGUGCUUAUUCCCCAUGUGAAAAGAAAAAGAAAACAAAAAAAAAGAGAAAAAAAUGUUGGUUUAUUGACUCUAACUCUACUUUUGCCAAGUUUUUUUUAAAUAAAAAUGUAUCGGGUUAAUGUGGUUGGAUCCAGAAUAUCUCCCUGGUGAAUAUCGGAUUGCUUGGCUCUUUUGAUUUCUGUGUUAAUUUCUCUAGGCAUAGGGAAUGACUGUUGGCAUUUUAAUGUGAACUGGUCCAAUAUUGACUCCAGUUCUCUAUGUUUGGCAAUAAUGAGGCGAGCUGUUCCUAUUUUUGGUUCUUAGUGUUGUUAUUAUGUGUUUUUGGCUUUGUUUGGCUGUGAAUAAUCUGGACUGUACUCCGCUAUGAGUUACUACUGAGUAACCGAGGAUCGGCACCUAAAAGUGUCGAUUCUCGCGUCAAAAGGUGGUACUUUAUAUGAGUACGUGGUCGUAUAGCAGUAGGAGCUGAGUAACCGGGCUCCUUCAUCUAAAAAUGUUGGAGUUCGCGUCAAAAGGCCCCGACGGCUAACGACUAAGUCUUUUUGUGUUAAUUAUUAUUGCUUUGAAAAACAAAAAAAAAAAAGAACGAAAAAAGAGAGAAUAAAUAAUAGGAAGGCUUGCCGGUUUAUGGACUUAAUAUGGAGACUUGUGUGAAUAUUUGGACCAUUAGCUAAUAAAUGUUGUGCGCCAUUCCCUUUUCUUAGAGUAGUUAACCUGGAAAUUGAAGGAAUUUGCAGUUUAGGGGCUAACCGGGGGGGAGGCUUCUUGGAUUUUAAUCACCAAUGCUCGAUAUAUGUUUUUCUCUUGAAGAUCUUGGCAAUAUAGGAGAUUGGACAAUGGCCAUCAUCGAAUUUUGGUGUUCGUUUACUAUUCUUAUGCUUGAGGACAAGCAUGGUUUAGGUGUAGGGGGAAUUGAUAGGGUGUAAUUUUACUAUUUAUUUUAUUAUUAAUUUCUCCUAUCACCUGACCUGAUGUGGAUUAAUUGCUGGAUUCUGCUCACUUUUAGUACUUUGUAUUUAUUUCAGGGAGUAGAACGGAAAUUUGAUAACAGGUGCUAAUUUGGCAGAAAAAAGUCCAGAUGAUAGAGCUUGCCCCAAGGGCAUUUUUGGAAAGGAGAACUUGUGCCCAUCUUGGUAAUUUGGGAGAAAAGGGAAACAGACAAAAUGGGUCUAACAUGGAUUGGAAGCGGCCGCACAGUAGCAGGGAAGAGGGCAGACGUAAAAGCAAUUGCAGGGGGGAAAAGGAGUUUUUUUAGUUUUUAGCUUAGCAUCUGAUUUUCCCUGGGAGACUUUUGUUAAAGAUUUCCUUUUGGCUGAUAUUACGCAUGGCAGAUGGCUUUUAACUUAUUCCUCCAUCUUUGACUUUUCUUCUUUAGCUUGUAGUAGUGGAUUGCUACUUACGAAUGUCAGCACUUAGCCAUUCGUGGCUUUUGAUCUUUUCUUCCUUAGAAAUUCUGAGUAGCCUCUUUUCCUUUGUGCGCCAGACGAAGUGAAAACUAUAAACUUUUGUAGUGUUUCUAUUCAUUCAAUAUAUUGAGACGAGUUGGAUUCUACCAAAUUUCAAUGGACAUGGCCGCUGGUUUCUCUUCAAUUUUAUAUGGGCUUUGUUCAUCGAACAUGAACUAAUUUCACCACUCUAGUCAAGGAACAACGAAGACUCUGGUUCGCCUAAAAAUUGUGAGAUCGUUUUAAUUUAAUCUUUUCCUUUUAUUUAUUGGUAUCCGCACAUUUCUUGAUUGCUAUGCUUAUGGUUAUUUAAUUAAUUGAUUGUCUUGGAUCCAGAUAAUUAAUUGAUCUGAUAGCCUAUUGUCAAUUAGGGCAUUUAAAUCCGUAAUUGUUUAAUUGUCCUGAAAUAGUGACAACUGGCACGAUUAGAUUCGUGCCAGGGGGGAUAUGCGGGCUAAUCUAAAAUAACCCUGGUAGUGUGUUAUUUGGUUAGAAUAGGGCUCCUCUAAUAUGUAAGGCAAUUGGGGAAUUAAAUUCUACGGGCGUACCUAGAAUUAUUUCUUAAUUAGAGUAGUGAUUAACGGGCGUACCUUGAUCACCGACACAGUAAGGAGGGGUUGACUGCCAUCGCUUGUUUGGCAGUUAUAACAUAUUUAUCAGUAAAUAAUUGGGAUUGCCUUGCAUCAAUGAUCAAUUAGAUGAACUAUUGCUGAAGUUACUUCUUGGCUAGAUCUUUAGUUAAUAUUACCUUGAUUUUGGUGAAUUGCCAUUUGAUUUUUAGUUGCCUACUUUAUUUUAUUUUUAAUUGUUUCCUUGCUUUAAUUGAGUUAGGCCUUUAAUUAUUGUUAUUCUAAGUUUAGUGAAUUGUGGUUUAAUUCCUAAUUAGUUAUUUAUUUUUACUUUCUUAUUUGAAUUUAUUUGCUUGUUAUCAUUCCUACGAAAUCACCCCCCUGUGUUACUUUGGAUUUCUUAAGAAACAAAUAUACCCAGUCCCUGUGGAUACGACCCUACUUGCCCUGUCCACGAAUUCAUAAUUAUUUGUGAAAAGAAAUAACCAUUCCACUCGGGUAUAUCGGAUCAAGCAAACUCUUCGGGAACAGGGUGAAUCAAGUAACCCAUUGCACACCUAAAAUCCCUGCUCCAGUACUUGGAAUUGGGUUUUGGUCAUUUUAACUGGCAAUUAAGUUUAAUUUUAUUAUUGCACAGGCUGACGACCCUGUCAUUGUAUUUGUACCAAAAGUGAAAACUUAACUAUUUUAGUUGUAUUUAUUUCAUCAUGUUGGAUUGUAUUCAAAUAAUUUUUGUUUGAUUGUUUUUAUAAGUUUCAAUUGUAAAAUUAAAAUGAAUAAUAACUUGAUGAUGUGUUGAUAUUUUAGUACUUGAUUAUUUAUUAAAAUUUAAUUAUAAUAAAAUUUUAUUAACUCAACGAGAAAAAUUUUAUUAAUCCCGUGGGGGCACCCGCGGGGAAAGCGGGGCGGGGCGAGGGGAGUGGGAGGCGGAGGACGGGGCGGGGGCGGGGGAUGGGGGAGGGGUCCCCCGCCCCAACCCCGCCAUCCCCCGUCCCGUUGUCAUCCCUAGUAAUAGACUGGCAAGCAUUGUGGUGGUCAUUGAGCAACUUAUAGGAGAAAUAGUCCUAUAAGCUGUUCAAUGACCAAUCACAACUUGCUAAUUGGAUGACUAAUAUAGCUCUAGCUGUAAUGUUUUAAUUAAAUUACAUCACUAACGUUGGGAUGACUUUUUAACCAAAAAAAAAAAGCCUUAGUUCAAGCUUUUCCCUUUAUUGUGCAUUUUUUAAAGCAUUUGAAAGGCACUGCAAAUCUGUCAUUUUGGACAUUUUAUUAUUGACUAACAAUGAAAGCCGUGGACGUCUACCCAUAACCAACACAAGAUUAAAUUAAUAUUAGAAAAAAUAAUUGAGUAAUUGGAAAAAAAAAAAAAAGAAGAGUCUAAUUUUCAUUGAAACCCACCGACAAACUAUACGUGUCCAUGGCUUUUGAAUAGUGCAUUCAACGUUUAAUUGUAUGGUCCAGUUCAUUGCAGAUUACAUGGAGUAAAGAUUGCGCUCUUUCCUUUUCACCCCUUUUGGAAUCGAUACUGUGGAGAAUUGGGUUUUUCCCUCCUUUUUUUCUUUUCUUUCCUUCUGUGGUUUGCAAAACAUACGUAAAAAUAUGAAAUCCGAAGCAUUCUUUAAUUGGUAUUAAGUAUUGUUGUUGAAAUUAAAAAGAAAAAAGAAAGAACAACAAAAUUCCCAAUCUGGGUUGAUUGUUGAGCUCUAGAUUGGUUGCAUCGUGCUUCCAUAGAAGCAAGAUUUGUAAAAUCGGAAUCCUACAUAGGAUCGAUUUUAGUUUCACAGGAUCGGAUUGUAAAAUCGUAAGAUCCUACCAAAAGCUCUCAAUUGCAAUUAAAGGUUGCAAUUCUUUAAUAAAUUACAAAUAUACCACAAAUAUUUUCAUUUACUUGCAAAAUGGAGCUUCGUAUUUCACAAAUUUACAAAAAAAUUGUAGGAUCGUACGAUCCUACCGAUCCUACGAUCCUACACGAUCCUACCGAUCCUGCUACGAUUCUAUGCGAUCCUACAAAGAUUAAUAUGAUUUGCGACUCUGCAUACGAUCCGGAUCGAUUUUGGUUAUCCGGAUCGUAGGAUCGUAUGAUCCUACGAUCCGGAUCGCGAUUUUGACAACUAUGCAUAGAAGCUCUCUUAGUGUGAUACACUGCUUUCAAUCAGUUUAACACGGGAAAAAAAAAAAGAGAUGAAAAGCAAAUUUGGUGGAGAUAAUUUCAGAAACCUCCCCUGAAGAUUUUGACUAUUCUACUGGUUUCCCUUCAGAUUUUAAAAAUUACACUAAUCUUCCUUGAAGUUAAUUAUCUUGUAACAUUUAAAUUCAAUCAAUAAUUUAAAAAAUGAUAUUAUGAGAGAGAAAAUAAUAUGAUUUUAUCAUUGCCCCCCAUCUUACUACAUUAUUUAAUUAAUUUAAUAGCAACCCACACAUUAAAGAAAAAUAUUAAAAUUUGUUGUUUAUCAUUAAAGAUCAAAUCGCUUAUAACAUCAAAUAAUAGUAUAUUAUUUAUAUUUUUCACUUAAUAUAAUAUCCAAAUUACUCUUUUCAAUUACAUACCCAUUGUUAGAGAAUCAACAACAAAUAACCAAAAAAUUUGCAACCAAAAUAUUACAAAAAAAAUAAACUUUAACAUCAUAAAUAUUCUUAUCAACAUAUUAAAGUUAGUUACUGAAAUUUUUAUGCUGUUAAACUUCACUCUUUUUGAAUACAGAUUUUUUUGAUUAUUUGUUAUUAAUUAUGUUUGAUGAUGGGUUUAUAAUUGAAAAGAACAAUUUGAAACUUACAUUAAGUAAAAUAUAUAGAGUGAUAUACUAUUUUUUAUAACAUAUGUGAUUCAAUCCUUCUUGAUAGGAUUGGUAAUAGAGGUAGAGGGGGGAGUCGGCUGCAUCCGGUCUUCUUUUCAUAGAUAGUACAAUAUUGCGAAAUCAAUCGCAUUCACACAAUAAUAUUUCGAAGUCAAUGCAUGGCUAAGUUGCAUAAAAGUACGAACACUUGUUAUUAUAUAGCUUAAGAUUCAAAACUUUCGAGCAUAACCCUCCACCCAACACAAUUGAAUAAUGAAUAUUCACGAUUGUCAAAUCUGUCAAAGCACAGUUUGAGGACAACCCAUUCCAACCUGCAAAAGAUUUUUUACUUUUCUAAAGUUGUUGAGAGCUGUAAAAAGACUUACCAUGCUUGCAUCCUCCGAGCCUUGGGAGUUAAAAAUGAAGGCACUGAGUGCUAUAAAAAGGGGAAUAGAGGCUGCCUAGAAGCAUAUCAGCCUAAAACAAGAAUUUGUAGUUAAGAUGGGAAGCAAAGCAAAAGCAAUGGGGUCUGGGCUGACUCCUCUUCUUGCCACUGUUUUAGUGGUGUUUGUUGCUCUUGGCUUGCCCUCACAAACUGCAGCUGAUGAUCACUACAAGUAUUCAUCUCCUCCUCCUCCUUACCACUAUCCCUCACCACCACCACCAGUGCAUAUACCUCCACCUCAUCCUGUUUACAAGUACAAAUCUCCACCACCCCCACCACCACACCCAGUUUACAAGUAUAAGUCACCACCACCACCUCCUCAUCCGGUAUACAAGUAUAAGUCUCCUCCGCCACCACCACACCCAGUUUACAAGUACAAGUCACCACCACCACCUCCUCAUCCGGUACCACACCCAGUUUACAAGUAUAAGUCACCUCCACCACCUCCUCAUCCGGUACCCACAGUUUACAAGUAUAAGUCACCACCACCACCUCCUCAUCCGGUAUACAAGUAUAAGUCUCCUCCGCCACCACCACACCCAGUUUACAAGUAUAAGUCACCACCACCACCUCCUCAUCCGGUGCCACACCCAGUUUACCACUACAAGUCACCACCACCACCUCCUCAUCCGGUACCACACCCAGUUUACCACUACAAGUCACCACCACCUCCUCACCCAGUUUACAAAUACGAGUCUCCACCACCACCAGUUUAUAAGUACAAGUCACCACCACCUCCUCCACCAGUUUACAAGUAUAAAUCUCCUCCACCACCACCACCAGUUUACCACUACAAGUCUCCACCACCUCCUCCCCCAGUUUACAAAUACAAGUCUCCACCACCUCCUCACCACUACUAAGCAAUUGCUUCUGAGGUAAUAACACUUGUUCAAUAUACCCACUUCUGCAUGAUAAAGCAUAUCUCUAUCAACACAAACUGUCAUGUCUAUCAUGCUAAGUGCCUUCACUUCAUCCACCAAAAUGACUGCUAGAAAAUUUUUUUUAUGUUACCAAAGAAAGGCAUCAUUUUUUCCCUCUGUUAUCAAGAACUUGUACAGUAUAUAGAUUAAAGAGUAUUUUUUUAACUAGCUUAUCAACUGAGAAAUGCAUAUAGCUGAUAGCCAGCUGAAUAUUUGCAGGCAAAGGAGAAGGAAACCAUGUUUGAGACCUUCUUGAAGAUGUAGAAGCAUAAGAAUAAAAGCCCAAUGUGAAGAUGAUGAUUUCAAGUUUUUCUACGUUACCAUUUCUUUAUCUAAAUUGGUUGUAGCGCCCAAGUUCCUUUGUUUAUGGGAUUUGUAUCGUUUUACGUACCAUGCAGUACAUGUCAUGUUUGUAAGGUUUUCUAUCCUGCCGGCAAACCGCAGGUUCCAUGUGAUAAAUGAAUACUAUUUAUGUUACGACACUUUUCUCUGUUUCUCUUAUAUUUUGUCUUUAAUAUUCUUAAUCAUAUUUUUAACAAAAAUAUUCAAACACUUAGGCAAUCUGGUCUAAUGCUAAUUGUAUGUUUUACUUUUCUUUUUCACCUGCUCCCCUUUUCAACUCAAAAGGAUGCAAUAGUUUGUGAUCACUGUUUAAGACGGAAGCAUGAUACUAAUGAAUAUCUCAUUGAAACUCAAGGAAACUAACAUUGCGAAAAGUGUAAAUCUUGAUUUGAUGCAACUAUUUAUUCGUGGAAUCUAUAGUUACAAAACUCAAAUUCUGACUGCGCCAUUGAUAAAUUAUUAAUGACGCUAUCAUCAUUAUUUAUCCCUAACUAGUUUCGACUACAACUGAACCCAAUAUUUUCCCCAUGAUAAAAGUUUUUGACUAUUUUACUGGCCUCUCUUCAAAUUUUAAAAAUUACACUAAUCUUCAUUGAGAUUAAUUAUCUUGUAACAUUUAAGUCCAAUUAAUAAUUAAAAAAUGAUAUUAUGAGAGAGAAAAUAAUAUAAUUUUAUCAUUGCCCCCCAUCUUGCUAUAUUAUUUAAUUAAUUUAAUAGCAACCCACACAUUAAAGAAAAAUACUAAAAUUUGCUGCUUUUCAUUAAAGAUCAAAUUGCAUAUGCCAUAAAACAUAGUAUAUCAUUCUAUAUGUUUCACUUAAUGUAAGAUCCCAAUUGUUCUUUUCAAUUACAAACCCAUUGUCAAACAUGAUCAAUAACAAAUAAUCAAAAAAUUUGCAACCAAAAUAUUACAAAAAAAAACUUUAACAUCAUAAAUAUUCUUACCACCUCUAGUGCAUUCACCCUCAUAAAAUAAUUCAAGACCCUACUGUCAUAAAAUGACUGAUCAACUCCUGUAAACCUAAUUUGACAACAUUUAAAUGGAGAACUUUAGCUAAAAGAAUUAUGGUCAAGCUAAAGAAAAAACCAGUUAUUUUCCAACAUAUGCAACCAUUGAUCAGGGGAAAAAAAAAAGCAAAAAGACAUCUUCAAUCAUUUAAUAGCUUACAGGGCAAAUUAACCCUUGAGUGAAAACUGGUUGCUCUAGAAUUAAAAUUUUACCUUAGUUACCCAGGCAACUUUUUUGUUGCCUUUUCUUUUUCUUUUUUGGGUAUAUAGCUCCAGUUUUGCCCCCUCUGUCAAGCUUAUAUAAUUAUUAAGAUAAUAAAAGUGCCUUUAAUAGUAUUAAUAUAUCCAUUGACUUGAGCUGUCAUCGAUCGGUUUGGGCUACUUCGAUUCCAUGAGAACAAAUGGUAAUAAAAGUACUCAGAAAAUGGGGAGUCAUGAAACCCUUUUGUUCUAUUCAUUGCUAAGAUGCUUUUCUCUAUAAAGAGACUUCCUAACGAAAAUACUUUGUAGAUUUCUUUACUCCAAGUGGUGCAUGGAAAAUUAAUAUUUUCAAUUAUCAAAUAAAAUUCCCUUUUUUCGGCGUAGAUUUCAUCCAUCCAGCUGUUAACACAUUCUAUAAAUCCGAAUUGACUAAUCUUUUCGUUUCCAUUUUCCAACUUGCGAAUACGGCAUAUAGUGUCUGCUAAACACUAUAUAUUCUCUGCCAAAUAUGAAUACAUAUCACUUUUCUGAGCAAGUGCAGAGUCAUUAUCAUUUUUAUUCCCACCUAACAAAUUAGGGAUAAAAAAGUUAAUAAUCUUUACAUGCUAUCAGGUCACAAGUUAAUAAUCUUUUAAAGAACAUGUUAAAUUAAUUUAUUGGUAUGAAUAGUAGUCAAAGAAGUAUGUUAAAGUUAGUAAUCUUUAAAAUAAUAUGUUAAAAUCAUUCGUACAAAUUAGUCAGAGAAGUAGCAUAAACACCGCGAUGCAAUUAAUACUUUCAAUCUCAAGGUCUCUAUUAUGGAAAUUUGCAUCGGUCAAUAUACACUUGGCAUAAUAUAAUCUCCCAACUCAUUUCUUUACAAAUGCACCUUUAAUCACCACCAAAAGGUGUGGACAUGAUCUUUACCCUAGAAAACUAUUCACCGACAGGCAAAUUGACGUCAGAAAUACUGAGGAAUUCUAGUUUCCUUCGGGUUCAUGCCAUGUUGUAUCCUUCAACUGUAACUCGAUUUCUAAGCUGUAAUUUGUGACAUAAUAGUCCUUAAACUAUGAAACCCUUCUUACUUAAUUACAAUGGUUAAUACAAUGCCCGUGACUAGACAAGUAUGAAGCAACCAUAACAGAAAAAAAAUCCAAAAUUAGAGAAAAGAAAGAAGUUUCGCGACCACCACCAGUUUACAAGUCACCUCCACCACCUCCUCCAGUUUACAAGUCACCUCCACCACCUUACCAUUAUUCCUCACCACCACCUCCAGUGCAUUCACCCCCACCACCACCAGUUUACAAGUCUCCGCCACCACCUUACCAUUAUUCCUCACCACCACCUCCUGUGCAUGCACCUCCACCACCAAUUUACAAGUCACCUCCUCCAGUUUACAAGUCUCCACCACCACCUUACGAUUAUUCCUCACCACCACCUCCAGUGCAUUCACCCCCACCACCACCAAUUUAUAAGUCUCCCCCACCGCCUCCCCCAGUAUAUAAGUCACCACCACCACCUCCUCCAGUAUACAAAUCACCUCCACCACCUCCUCCAGUUGACAAAUCUCCACCACCACCAAUUUAUAAAUACAAGUCUCCUCCACUACCUCCUCCAGUGUACAAGUCAUCACCACCACCUGCUUACAAGUCUCCACCUCCUCCAGUUUACAGUUCCCCACCACCACCAAUCUACAAGUCUCCACCUCCACCCUACCAUUACUACUACAAUUCUCCUCCUCCUCCUCGUCACUACUAAGCAAUUGUAUCCAAGUUUUUGAGGUAAUAACGCUUAACCAAUAAAUUAACUUUCGCAUGAUAAACCUUAUCUCUAUCAAGACAAACUGCCAUGUGUAUCAUGCCAAAUACGUACACCUAGAUCCAUGAAAAUGAAUGGUAGAAAGUUUUCUUAAGAACCAAGAACAGCAUUAGUAUUCCCUCUGCUUCCAAAAACUUGUGUAUUAAAUAGAUUAAUGAAUUGUUUAACAUGCUCAUCUACUUGAAAAUGCACAAUACCCAUAACCCACUGAAAUUUUUGCAGGAAAAGGGAAAGAGAAUCUGUGUUUGAGAGCUUCAUGAAGAUGUUGAAGAAUAAGAAUAAAAGCCCAAUGCAAGGAUGUUUUCAAGUUUUUCUAUGUUUCCACUUUAAUUUGUAAAUUGAAUUUUGCGACUCAAUUAAUUCCCUGUUUGUGAGGUACGUAUUGUUUUACGUACCAUGCCGUACAUUUUUUUUUUCCAACAAACGGUAUCAUGUUAUAGAUAUUAACACUUGACCUUACAAGGAUUAGUUACAAAAAGGGGAUACUACCCUCAACUCUGUCCUAGCUAAAUCAGUCAGCCAUAUUGGGAAAUUAGUUUCCCAUUCAAUAUCAUGUACAAGCUUCACAGCAUAUUGUGCUAAUUGAUGGCUGAUGUGAUUUUCAGUUCUAGGUAUAAACACAAAAGAACAUUUUUCAAAAGCUAGACUAAGUUCCUGCACAUCUUCUAAGAUAGUUGCAGUCGUGUAGUCAUACUCCUUGCGUUUAGUAAUCUGCUCUACCACUGAUUUGCAGUCUGUAUGGACUAUAAUUUGUGUCCAACCUGCUUGGGUAGCCAUCAGCAGAGCAUUUCUCACAGCCCGAGCUUCCACUUCACUUGCCGAUCCCUUUCCCUGUGUGACAAUUCCUUUUGCUUUCAAAAGCUGUCCUUUCCAAUUUCUUGCUAUAAUCCCUUGUCCGGUCCUGACUCGUUUAGCUGAUAUCGCUGCAUCGGUAUACAGCCUUAUCUCUUCCUUCCUUGGCCGCACUCUCCUGGUAGGUAAGGCAUCAUUCAGCUUCCCUGCGAUCUCCUUCUGGUCUGUACUCCCUACCUGUUCAAACUCAAGCCAUUCCUCCUGUGCUUUCCUUACUAUUUUUACUGGAUCCUGGUUGGCUUGUUCAAAAAAUUUUUUGUUCCUGGCUUUCCAAAUUUGCCAAAGGAUAUUGAUAGUAAGACUAACUCUCUCCUGACCUUGGUUCAGUGCCAGCGAUUGUGUGACUUGUUCCCACCAUAACCAAAAGUUAUAUUGCAUACCCAGUAAUCCAUCCCACCUGACCGGUGCUAGCUUCCACGUUUCCACAGCCUUUUCACAGAAGAAAAACAAAUGCUCAAUAGUUUCCAUAUCUUCACCACAGCAACCACAUCUGCCUUCCCCUCUAUGUAGCCUUUUCGACAUCUGUUCAUUGACUGGCAGACAAUUUUGUAAGCACUUCCACAUGAAGUGUUUUAGUUUGGCCUUCACCUUCAAAUGCCAUAGCUGCUUCCACACAUUUCGUUUUCGUAUCUCCCAACUUGUUUCUGCCUCUUGGCCUGUCCUUGUACCUGCUUUUCCUUCCCGUUGCCUUGCUAAAGCAUAACCAGAUUUCACGCUAUAAAUUCCAGCUUUGGAAUGCCCCCAUACCAACCUAUCCUUUCUUCUUCCUAUACUUGUUGGAAUUCCCUUUAUGUGCUCUGCAUCUUUUGCACAAAACCACUUGAGAAGCAAAUCAUUUUUCCAUUUCCCUUCCUCUAUCAGCUCACUUACCCAUUCCAACUUGCAUCCCACAGGUUGUGUGGUUGAUGCAAAGCCGGUAUCUGAACCAACUAUCCAUCUGUCCCGCCACAUGUUGACUGACUUGCCAUCUCCAAUUCUUUUCCAAAGACCAUCAUACAGAAAGGAGGCUGCACUAUGAAUACUCUUCCAACACCAUGAGGCUGAAGAGACUGGCUUCUUGUCCAUCCAUUUUUCAUCACUCAUAUACUUCGCCUUCAUUACCUUACUUACUAACAAAUUUGGAGCCAUUAAGAAUCUCCAAAUUUGUUUUGCCAGUAAUGCUGUGUUGAAGGCCUCCAAAUCUCUAAAGCCUAAACCUCCUCUUCCCUUAACUUCUAAGAGCUUCUUCCAGCUUGCCCAAUGUACACAGGUACCCUUUUCUCCCUUCCCCCACCAGAAACUCGCUAUUUUACCUGUGAUUUGUCUACACAAACCCCUUGGAAGUCUAAAGCAAGCCAUCACAUAUGUUGGCAUAGCCAUAAUCACUGAUUUGACCAGAAUUUCUUUCCCUCCUUGGCUCAACAGUUUUUGUUUCCAACCUUGCAACUUGUUACUAAUUUUGUUCUGGACAAAUGCAAAGACCUGUGUCUUUGAUCUUCCAAUUGCCAUUGGGAGUCCUAGGUAGGUUCCAUUCCUUGCCUCUUUAAUGUUAUCUAAUACCUCCCUCACUCCAUUCUUCCUUUGAUCAGUGGUAUUUUUGCUAUAGAAGAUAGCUGACUUUUCAAAAUUCACCACCUGUCCGGAUGCUUGACCAUAUCUUUCCAAUAUGCUUUUGACCUUCCUCGCCUCCUGCUUGGUUGCUUGGCAGCAUAGUAGAGAAUCAUCUGCAAAAAAUAGGUGAGAAACCAUCGGACUGUCCUUGCAUAUUUUGAUCCCUGUAAUUUCCUUGUUCAUCAUAGCUUUAUGGAUCAAACAUGAAAGACCUUCAGCGCAUAUAAUAAACAAGUACGGGGAUAGGGGGUCUCCUUGUCUAAGCCCUCUACUCGGUUGAACACAGCCUACCUUUUGCCCAUUUAAGUUGAAGGAGUAAGUCACAGUAGAUAGGCAAGACAUGAUCCAUUUAACAAAAAUUGGACAAAACCCCAUUUUCAUCAUAACUCUCCCCACAUAUUUCCAUUCGACUCUAUCGUAAGCUUUGGACAUGUCCAGUUUAAGAGCCAUAAAUCCUACCCUUCCCUUUCUCCUAUUUUUCAAAAAAUGCAGGAUUUCAUGUGCAACUACUACAUUAUCAAGAAUUUGACGGCCUGGGAUAAAAGCGGAUUGAGAGGGACUAAUACAAUGAUGCAAGACACCUUUCAAUCUAUUAGCUAUGAUUUUAGAAAUGAUUUUAUACAGGACAUUGCACAAGCUAAUAGGUCUAAAAUGCACCACAGAUUCAGGAGUAUCAACUUUAGGAAUCAACGAAAUAAUAGUAUCAUUCACAGCUUUGAGCAAAUGCCCAGUAUGAAAGAAACUCUUAAUAGCUGCUACCACAUCAUCCUUGAUAAUAUCCCAAUAGUGUUGAAAAAAUAGAGGAGACAUACCAUCCGUUCCUGGUGCUUUAUUAGGGUGCAUCGAGAACAAAGCUUUCCUGAUCUCACUUUCCUCCACUUGUCGUAUCAGUUGUCCAUUCAUAUGACUCGAAAUAGUGCUUGGAAUUUCAGCUAGAAUGUCCUCAAAGCAGUCCGGGUUAGUAGUGGUAAAAAGGUCUUUAUAGUACUCACAAAGUUCCUCCUCAAUCUCAUGUUCCUCCUUGCACCAUGUCCCAUCUUUUUUCUGCAAUAUAGUGAUCUUAUUUCUCCUCCUCUUUGCCAUGACCGAAGAAUGGAAAAAAGCUGUAUUCUUGUCCCCUUCUUUGAGCCACUUGUUCCUGGAUUUUUGACUCCAAAACAUCUCUUCCUCUGCAUAAGCUUUAUUCAAUUGUGCUUUUAGUUCAGCCACUUGUACUCUUUUCCCUUCAUCCUUUCUUGCUUUCACUUCAGCCAAUUUCUCCUUUAACACUUUAAUUCUAACCUUUGAGUUUCCCUGCACCUUUUUCCUCCAAUCCAGAAUAGCCAUGCGACAUUCCUUUAUUUUUGUAGCCACUCUAAACAUCCUGGACCCUGACUUCACCUUUGUCCAUGCUCCUUGAAUCACCCUUUUUGCUUCUGGAUUUAGCGUCCAUCGUUGAUCAAAGUAAAAUCUCCGUUUUCUCCUUGUGUUUUCCGGGUUUGUAUCCACAAGAAGCAUUAGAUGAUCAGAGGCUUCAGUAUCUAAAUGAGUACACUGUGCCUUUUCAAAUCUUUGCAGCCAUUCGGUGCUGCAUAAACAUCUAUCCAACCUCUCUUUCACUUCCCCAUCCCCCUCCCAACUAUUGCACCAAAUCCACGGGACCCCUUGAUAACCUAAGUCAACCAGGUUAUUGUCUUUGAUAAACCUGUUGAACUCCCUAAAACAUCUUUCAGCUCUAUCCCUUCCUCCCCACUUCUCCUCACUAGACCUCAAAUCAUUAAAAUCUCCUACAAUGAUCCAGCCAUCCCCCCAGUCCCUCAUCCUGUCCUCUAAAUAUUUCCAUUGUGCUUUUCUAAUGUUACUAUCUGUGCUUGCAUAAACACACACUAGCCCCCAGUAUCCUUUAGUAUCCUUGUCCUCAACUCUAGCACUAAUACACCAAUCAGUACUUACAAUCUGGUCUAAAAUCACCUCAUUGUUCCAGAAUAAUGCUAGACCGCCUGCUUUACCUAUUGAAUUCACAAAAAAGCUAUUGUCAUACUGAAUCUUCCUUUGAACCUUGCCCAUAAACCCUUCCUGAUUCUUAGUUUCACAAAGGAACACCACCUUAGGAGAGUGGAAGUUAGUCACUUCCUUUAGUUGGGGACUUGUCAAGGGGCCUCCUACACCUCGACAAUUCCACACCACAACCUUCAUUUACACUUUGGAGGCUUUCCGGGGCUAGCCUCCAUUUCCCCUAUUGUACUAACAUUUAUUAGAUCCAGUUUCAUAACCUUUACCUUCGGUACAUUAUCAUCAUCCUCCUCUAUCGGUUGUGUUCCCUGAAACAUACCAUCAGCCUUCCUUUUAGCACACGAAACCUGCGUUACUUGUCCAUUUGUAUCUGCCUUUAAGGAUGUUUUAGCCGGCCUCCCUCUUCUUUUAAAACUGCUUCUUUUUUCAGCUUUGUUAUCUUCUUCCCCUGGAGUAGCCUCCUUUCUUGGCAUUCUUGCAUUUGUCUCCUCCUGCUUUAUUGACCCUACCCGCAAACUUUCACAUUCCUGUUUUGAGCUGUCCGUUUCCAUAUCCUCAUAAUCUACUGGUGGGAUUACGCUGCUCCCUCCUUUACUCCCUUCCUGUACCCUACCCUCCUUUUCACCAUUUCCCUCCAUUAAGACCACAGCCAAACUUUCCACCCGUUGGUUUGCCUUUCCAUACUGCCUGCUGUCUUUUAGAAUCUCAUCCCACCUCUCUUCAUAUUGUCUCGUCAUCAUUUUCUCCUUAUCCCCCCUUUCCUUUCCCCCCAAGACUCUACCAUUUUUUCCCCCAAGAGUUAAUGUAUCUCCAGCCAUUUGUACUCCAGUUUGAACUUCACUACUAGGAGACCCUGCCCCCACCCUCCUUGCAUCAAUUUCACUUACUCCUUCCAGCCGUCCCUUUAAGGGAGAUACCAUUAUAUUUCCAGCUCUCAUCCAGGCACCAUAUUGUUCCUCUCGCUUCUCCCCCCCACCCUUCCUACCACAGUACAAGUCCUAUCACUAUGCCCAAUGAUACCACACCUAUAACAGAAAUCAGGGCAGCGUUCAUACCUGAACUCAACCCACACUGCCUGGUUCUUACAGUUGAUCUUUGUCCCUCUAACCAGUGGUUUCGUUAUAUCUACCUCAGCCAUAAUCUUCAUGUGGCGACCCUCUUUCCCACCACUUCCUGGGAGAAUCACUCCCCUCACUGAUUUAAAGAUCCCUCCUAUUUUCAAACCCACUGCUCUGCUCAACCAGUGCACCGGUAGGUUCCAUAGUUGAAUCCAAAGAAAGGAAUGCUGGAAAAAGCUGCUGUUUGUAUCAUACCCCUCUACCCACUCCUUCACUAUCAGCAACUGGUUGUCCAUGACCCAAGGCCCUCCAGAUAAGAUCUUUUUCUUUUCCCCUUCAUCUCCCAGAUGGAAAUGGAAUAAGUUAGGACCUAACUCAGUCACUUUCAUCUUUGAGGGGUAUCCCCAUGCAUGAUUUGUAAAGUUCUUUAACCCCGUAAAGUUGGCAAUUUUUUCACCAAUCAGCUUUCCUACCAGGCUUCCUUGACACUCAGAGACGCCUUCUUCCAGGUCCUCACCACUCAGAUCGACACCUCCUAACUCUGUUUCAGACAAGUCAAAAUUUUGAAAGGCUCUUUCUAAAGCAUCCGCCAUUGCUGUGACGAGAGCUCCUUGAGAAACCAAGCACUAUUUCUGAGCUAUGAGUGACCCACUGACAGACCUGUGAAGAAUUGCAAAGACAGACAAAGCUGUGUUAUCCGUACACACUAAAAACCAACCAGAAAAACAGAGAGGAACUCGACAGAAAAAGCACAGGCACAAGAAGAAACGAAAGAAAAAAGAAAAACCAACAAACCACUAUCCCACUCCCGACCACAUAACAGCAUUAAAGAAAGGGACACAAAUACGACACUCCAACUUCCGAUCACAUGCUCUGACUCAAUGGAUCAUAUCUUGCCCAAAGCGUUUACUCCUCCAACCGAUUCCAAACCACUACAGACAUUGUCUCCCAUUUUGAAGCCGGAAGAAAGGUGGCUUCUGGACAGGGAACAUGAAAGCAAAGGUUGAACUAAAGAUUUGAUUUUAGAUCUGAAAAUUACGCUGUAGGAAAAAGUGCUAUGUGUUUGUACCUCACCCACUCUCCCACACCGAGGAGGGGAACCUCUAAAGUUAGAGAGAGAAGCUCUCAAGUUAGAGAGAAGCUUUGGAAGUUAAUUACCAACGUACCAUGCCGUACAUGUUUGUAAGGAUUUCUAUCCUAUUGGCAAAAGUCGGUUCCAUACAAUUAAUCAAUUCAUUUCACUUCUAUUGGCUCUACUAUUUAUGCAUGUUACGACACUCUUUCCCUUAUAUUUUGCCUUUAAUAUUAUGAGUCAAUAGUAAUAAUGGGCCUUUUUCUUAAAAUUAUACUAUUAUACAUAGGUAGUUUGGUCUAACGCUAAAUUCAUGUUUGUCUUUCUUUUAUUCCCUUUACAUCUCAAAGUAUACUAUAGUUUGUAAUCAUUGUGGUGAUGAUAUUACCAGCUGGUACUUAUAGUUUAAGGCAGAGACAUGAUAUUAACAACUAUCUCAUUGAAACAUAAGUCAAAAUCAUGACAAGUGUGAGUCUUGGUUAAUGCACAAUUUGUUAGUGGAAUUUAUAUUUAUAAAACUCAAAAAAAAUUUUUGACAAUGCUAUUACUAAUUAAUUAAGGACUUCAUUGCUAUAAUUUAUCGCUUACUAAUUUAAACUAUAAAUGAUCUCAAUACUUUUCUCCAUGAUGUCGAUUUCUUUAGACUACGAAAGGGAAAAAUUAGUGACAUAUCCCUUACUGAUUACAACAUCAGCAAAAAUUAGUUAUAAACUUUUCCGGUGGUUUUAAAUCCCUCGGGCACUAAGGUUUUUUGCACAUCGAGUGAAUUAAGGAACAUAGGCAAUUCGUUCUGCAUACCAAGUCCUUGUUUAAGAUGCACGUACUAAAAUGCAUCCACUUCAUUAAUUUGGAAAAUUGCCAUAGUUUUUUUUAAGCAUUUUGAUUUUUUACAUGAUUCAAAAUUUUCUUAUUGGAUACAAUCACUUUGUGUCAAGAACACAUUUUCAAUCAUCUUUUUUAUCUUCUCAAUAAGAAAAUAAAAAUUUAUUCAUGCUUUUCUAACAUAUCCAAUCAUUGAUCUGAAAAAUAAAGAAUUAAAAAAAAAAGACAUUUUCAAUCAUUGCUUACGGGGCAACUUCCCCAUGUGAACCUCAUCAAACAAAGCCAAUAAUAUGAAGGAACAUCUAAAUACACUUUUGCCCUAAAGGCUGGUUGCCUUGGGGUCAAAAUUUAACCUUCGGGAGUAUAAUUACCCGCCAAAUUUAUUAUUUUUUUUAUGGGUAUAUAGUUCCAAUUUUGCCUCCUGUUAAGCUUAUAAAUAUAUUACGACCCAGAAAAUAAAGGAAUCUUGAAUAGUAACAUGUCCAUUGACUUGAGUUGUUAUCAAUUUGGCUACUUCGAUUCCAUGAGGCCAAUCCAAUUCACACUAGCUAGAGAAAAUGGUGAUAAAGGCACUUAGAAAUUUAUAUGUAAUAUUGAUUGGUAGUAACUGAUAAGUAUAUAUUUUACGUGUUUUAAAUAUGUUUUAUUAGUUAGUUUUGGUGUGUUUUAACUACUUUUAUAACUAAUUAACUAGGAAUCUAGUGAAAAUAUGCAUUUUGUGGUUUGAAGUGUAAAAAUUGUAUUUCUAUGGAUUUUAAUGGUGAAAACUUCAUGUUUUUGUAGGUUUAAUGAUUCAAUCAUCAAAUGACAUGAUUUGAGAAGAUAAUUAGAUGAUUGAUGAUGUUUUGAAGUGAUAAAAAGAGAAUACAAAGUGCAAGAGAGGAAAUGCAAUCAAGAAUAAAAGAAGAAAAUUUUUGUAGCUUUGACAUAUUGUCGUAUUUCGGCAAUAUAUUGAGCUACAAUGAUCGGAUUAAGGUGAUUCUUAAACCAUUUGAAGCUAAAAUAUAGAUCUACAUUUGGCAUGAAGGCAUCGAAACCCAUGUCAGUCAUUUUCCUUGUCAAAAUGUUGAAAUACAGAAGUGCAACUCUGUUCUCGAAAGCUAAAACAGAGCUCUGGCUAGUCGAGGGUAUUUUCAUCAUUUCUUAGUCCACAGAGCUCCAAAUGAGAUGAUUCUUAAGGCAUUAGAACCCUAACUCAAAGAGCUACAACUUUCAUAUUUUGUACAAGAGUUAGUUCGGCCUCUAUCAUUAAGAAAAUAGUAGUUGAAGUGGUGCCAAAUGCAUAGAAGUGAAAACGCGAGCUAUCAAUACUCGACCUGAAGUCGCGUAUUCCUGAGGUCAUGCAUUCUCUUCUAUUUUCUGCAACUUGCCCUGCUUUCACAUAACUUUUUCAUCUCAAUUCCAACUAUCAAUUUCGGCUAUAUCUGAUCAAGAAAAGUGUGGAAAGUUUGAAAGACAACUCAUAGGAGUUUCAAGAGUCAAAAAUUACAAUUAGAAACAACUCAUUUGGCUCUUGAAUCCUCUAUAAAUAGAGGCCUUUGAAGAACAUUUUCACAACUUUGGAAGGUUAGAGAAACUCCACAAAAACAUAGUCUUCACUAGAAUUUCCUUAGUUCAUUAGUUAGGGUAGUAUAGUAUAGUUAGUGUAGCUUUUCCUUCUUGUAUUUAUAGUUAGGUUUGAAUGAAGAUUCAGGAGCAAAGAUAGAGAGGUUGAUCUCAUGUGACAAGGGUGAUAUCUCUUCUACUACUUUCUCUUUUGUAUUUGAUUUCAUAUUUAACUAUACUACAAAUUUGGCUUUGUUUUUUUUUUUUUAUCAUGUUUAGUUAAAGUUUAUGCCUAGAGUAUGGAUGACCUUUUUAUAUCUUGUUUGUGAUAUUUAACUGGUUAUUUGAUGAUGUUAUUUUUGAGCAAGUUAUUUAUCACUUUUGCUUUUCUAAUCAUGAUUAACUGGCCAUUAGUUGUGAUUAUCUAAAAGUGUUAAGUUUGUAAUGAGAAUUGGAGUUUAACACUAGUUCAAGGAAGUGAUAAAUUUAGGGAGUUCACUCAUGAGAGUAGAGGAACACCUUUGUGACCUAAGUGACUUGUUUCAUAUAAUUUCAUAGAAAAAAUGAACUUGUAAUUAAUUUCAUAACCACGAGAGUAAGUAUGGUUUAGCUAUAUGUAUAGUUGAUUCACUACGAGAGUAGGUUUCACAUACAUUAGAAAAUUACAUCAUAACUAGUCAAGAUAAUAUCAUUCAUUUAAUCAGUAAUCUCAUUUGCAUGAGUAGUAAGGCAUUCCAUAUCUCUAGGAGGUUUUUAGUAUUAUUUUCAUUACUUUUAUGUUUAUGGUAGUCUAGAUAAUAAUGGAGUUCGAAAACUACUAGUAAUUGAAAAUUUUCCCUGUGGGAUCGACCUUUAAUACCCUAUACUCGCUCUCGACUCGUAUACUUGAGAAAAAUCACGUGUGCGGUAUUUAGAAUUUAUAAAUGUAAAACUUGACUGUAGAUGAACUAAUUGAUAUAUGUAUACCCCGCACUCGUCAGUAACCAGCUUGUAUUGAUCCCACUAUUGUGGAUAAUUGUGCUCUUAUGAAAAAAAAUUAUAAAAAAAUUAGCAAAAUUUAUGAUAACAAAUUAAAUUUAUUCAUACAAAUCAGUGAAAGAAGUAGAAUUUUAAAGUCCAUGAUGAAAUUAAUACUUUCAAGGGCUCUAUUAGGAAGACUUCACUUGUUGGUGAAACUACACUAGCACAGUUAUAUGCACAUUUACUGUUUUGGUAUCUAAUUUCCUUGCCUUAAGUUGGGUGCAGAUGUUUAUAUUACAAAUAGAUGGUAUCAUAAAAUUGUUGUAUUCACGUUUGUUCUUUUUUUUCUUCCUUAAGUUUUUUUCUUUAUUCUCGUGACUUCAAAAAUACGAACUCAAGAAAUUGGCUGCUUAAUCAAUAUGUCAUACAGGCUUCGCUAGUGAGGUAUAACUUCACAACUAGAGUCAAUAGAAAUUAUCAAAUGAUUUUUUAACAUCCAAAUUAAGCAAUAAAUUUUGUUUUCAUUUUAUGACAUAUAAUAGUACUACUUCAUGAGAGAUUUUAUAGUUUCUUUUAGGUAUCAUACCUACAAGUGAUAUUUGUCAUUGGAUAGUGACAGAAGUGUUAAUGAUUGUAAGAUUAAAUAUUGUUAAAUAUUGAAAUUUAAACUAUUUAUCUUUAUUGAAAGAUACAAGUUAAAGAAUCGUUCAAGGGGGCAAUUUUCCAUCUUGUCUUUUUGAAAAAACGCUAUCACAUUGUAUAGGCAUGAUAGGUUCAAAUUUGUCAUUAAAUUUAUGAUUGAUUUUCCUUUUAUUCAAGCCAAAUAUUGUUUUAAUUAUCAAAUUCUACUUAUAUUUGGUUAAUUGUACUAAUUGUAGGGCGGUAGAGCAAAAGUUGCUAAAAAUAGGCGAUUUUCUGCAAAUUGGUUGUCAAGGCUGAAGGAUUUGGGAUUCGCAUGUUCAAGGCCUGUUUCCAAGUUUGAUUCAAACUCUGGACAGUUUUAGAGGAAGAUUUGGAAGAUUUGAAAUUUCAUUAUUAGUUUUAUGGUUGAAUUAGGAAUCUUGGAAUAAUUUCUUUUGUGAUUUAUUUUUCUAUUUAGGAGACUAGUUGUUAUUUAGUAGUAGACUUCAAUUAGAAAACAAAGAGAAAAAGAAGGCCGGAAUCCCGCUUGAUUAAUACCUUGGCCAGGGAACAAUCUCGGUGGGGAGGACGGCCACUUAGCCUCUCAAUUCAUCUUGCUUUUCGUUAGUUUGAGAGGAAAACCAAUUGCAACUAGAUUCAAUGGAGUCUGGCAGAAUUUCUUCUAGGAUGCGUAGCUAAAUCCUCAAUUUUUAGUCGAAGGUCAAUUUGAAAAUUCGGUUCCAAAUAUCUGUGAAAUCGAAUUAUUUUACUUAUUUCUUUUAUUUAUUGGUAUUCGCACGUUUUCUGAUUUAACUUUUUAUGAUUGUUUUGUUAUUUGAAUGUCAAGGGUCCGAUAUUCGAAUUAACUUAAUAAUCUACUGCCAAAUUAACCGGUUAAAUCCGUAAUUGUUUGAUUGAUUAAUAUCAGUGGCGACUAGCGUGAUUGGUCCCAUGUUAGGAAAACGUCUGAUCUAAUUUAAACAAACCGUCGUAGCGUGUUUGUUGAUUAGGGUUGGGCUUUUCUAAUUCUUAAUUCAAUUGAGAAAUUAAAUCCCCCGGUCGUACCUAGGAUUAUUUUUUUGUUAGCGAAAUAGUUAAUGGUCGUACCUUGACUAUCGAAAAAGUAAGGAAGAGUUGAUUGUUUAUCGCGUGUACGACAACUAUAAUCAAUCUAUUAAUGAGUAAUUGAAUUAUCUUUGCAUCAGUAAUCAGUUGAAUGGACCGUGUCUGAAAAGUUGUACCUUUGGCUAGAGUCUUAUCUGUUGUUGAUUCAUUCAUAUCUAUCUUCAUGCGUUGUUUUAAUUUAGUUAAUUAGUUAUUUUUAUAAAAACCCCUCAUCUCUGGACUCUAAAAGAAAUAAAUUAUUUCUAGUUCCUGUGGAUUCGAUCCUACUCACCAUACAAUCCAACCUGCAAUUGUAUGAACCCCAAUCUCGCUUCCUAGUCCACCAUUUUUCUCUAGGUAAUAAUCUCCCUUCUAAUUUCUUCACAAAAUGCACCUUUCAUCACCUCCAAUAGCGUCGACAUGAUCUUUACCCCAGAAGACUAUUCACCGACUCUCAAUUGACGUUAGAAAAUCUAAGAGUAAUUCUACUUUACCCUAAGAUUGAUAUCAACAAGACAAGGACAAUUUAGAAUUAUUACACGCCUCUUCUUAAUAGGAAAAAGAAAUAGAGAAGAAAGUCAGGCCAGGUCUAAUUUCUUUUCAAAGGCAAUACAACAUUACGAAAUCAAGCAUUCAUUCAUACAAAUAUUUCAUAGUCACCGGUUUGCUGAGUAGAAAAAUUUAGACAAAAACUUAAUAUUAUAUUGUUUAAGAGUUAACAAUUUAGAGCUUAAUCUCCUUGUACUUUGGAGUUAACAAUUUAGAGCUUAAUCUCCUUGUACUUUGGACUAAACUUGAACGUGAAAGGAAAUCCCAAAACCAUAUUGGGCAUGAAUUCACACUUAAUAUACCCAAUAAAAGAUGGCGACUGGUGAAAGGCAGUGGAGACUGGUGGAGAGAUUUGAGGAAUAGAAGCAGACGGAAAAGCAACAAAUUUUUGCCGAAAAACGGUCACUUUCAUGGUUAAUUUUGCUACUCUCCAAUUGUACUUGACCAAUUACAACAAUUUCAUGGAGUUUGAUACGUGAAAAGAAUUUUUUAUAAAUUUUAUUUUGAUCCAUAAUGUUAUCUUUACAUAUAUAAAACAUUUUACAAUUUUGAUUUUGGCGCAGUUAACUUUUGGUAAACAAAAAUGCUCAUGUUUAAAAAACCGGAAAUAAAACAAAACAAGAAACAAAAGAAAUAAGAGGGUAGCAUAGACAUUUUGGAUUUUUCCGUUAAUUUGGAUGAUUUCCACCCACGUUCUAAUUUAAUCCAAAACACAAAGGAAUUACGUAGAGGUUUUAAAUAAUGAGGGAGCUUCAUGAUCGAACCCCAAACCACAAGGCGAUUUACUAUAUUUUACUCUUAAAUUUUGGUUUCAUCUCAUAGCAUACAAGAGUUCUAUUUCACUAUCUGUAGACAAAGACUUUCUAUGGUUGAUGUACCAUAGGAAAAAAUCUGCCUAUACAACGUGAUAGCAUUUUUUCAAAAACACAAGAUGGAAAAUUGCCCCCUUAAACGGGGAAAUUCAUGAUCUUUCCUCGAACAAAGAAUACUCACGCCUAUUCAAGAUGGAAAAUUGCCCCCUUAAACGUCUAUUUGUCAAUUCUUGAAAAAAGAAUACUCACGCCUAAAACACGGCCUCUUCAUCUGCAGAAUUCUAAAAAGUUAGGUAAACUCUAUAAACAAGUUGAUAGGUACAAUCGUACCCAAGAUCAAGUACAGAUAGUUGUACAUUCACUGCUGCAAUAACUAAUCUGAUGACUUACAAACAUAUCAUGGUCAAUCGUUGAAUGGUAAUGAGUCUUUUGUUAUGCAUUAGUAUUAGUGUGUACACUCUAAUAGAUUGAUACUUAUACUCUUUAAAUUAUCAUAAUAAUACCCUUAAUUAACUUUAACUCUUAAAAAGAAUACGUGUUAAUACACGAGAGUGUGUAACCUGAAUUGUUACUUAUACAUUAGUGUGUAAUAGAUAGGGAUGGCAAUGGGGGCGGGUGCCCGCAGGCAACCGCCCCGCGGGGGGCUCUCGGGGCGGGGAGGGGGGAAUUUUUUCCCCCCGUUUAGAAACGGGGCAGGGGACGGGGGAGUAUACCCCCGCCCCAUCCCCCGCAAAAAAAAUUAUAUAUAUAUAAUUAUAUAUAAUAUGUAAUUUAAUUAGUUAUAAACUUAUGAUAAUGAUAUUAUUAGUUAGAUGUAUUAUAUAAUGUAUAUUAGUGUAUGUAAUAUAAUUAAUAUUAUCAAUUAUACGAAUAAUUAGACAUGUCUACUAAUAGAAUUUAUUAAUUAGUUAUACUAAAUUUACUAAUACAUUUAUACUAAAUUUCUAAUUACAUUUAAUAGAAUAACACUUUUUUCUAAAAAAAAAAGCACAAACACAAUAAUGAAUUAGUGAUUGUAUUUUUACCAAAAAUGAAAACUUAACUAUUUUAGUUGCAUUUAUUUCAUCAUGUUGGAUUGUAUUCAAAUAAUUUUUGUUUGAUUGUUUUUAUGAGUUUCAAUUGUAAAAUUAAAAUGAAUAAUAACUUGAUGAAUAAUAAUGUCAAUCGUUGAAUGGUGUGUACACUCUAAUAUUAUGCAUUAGUAUUAGUGUGUACACUCUAAUAGAUUGAUACUUAUACUCUUUAAAUUAUCAUAAUAAUACCCUUAAUUAACUUUAACUCUUAAAAAGAAUACGUGUUAAUAACUCUUAACCUGAAUUGUUACUUAUACAUUAGUGUGAAAUAGAACGGCAAGCAUUGAGCAACUUAUAGGAGAAAUAGUCCUAUAAGCUGUUGGAUGACUAAUAUAGCUCUAGCUGUAAUGUUUUAAUUAAAUUACAUCACUAACGUUGGGAUGACUAAUGGUUUAAAAAUAAUUGAGUAAUUGGAAAAAAAAAAAGAGACUAAUUUUCAUUGAAACCCACCGACAAACUAAACGUGUCCAUGGCUUUUGAAUAGUGCAUUCAACGUUUAAUUGUAUAGUCCAGUUCAUUGCAGAUUACAUGGAGUAAAGAUUGUGCUCUUUCCUUUUUCACCCCUUUUGGAAUCGAUACUGUGGAGAAUUGGGUUUUUCCCUUCUUUUUUUCUUUUCUUUCUUUCUGUGCUUUGCAAAACAUAGGUAAAAUUAUGAAAUCCGAAGCAUUCUUUAAUUGGGAUUAAGUAUUGUUCUUGAAAUUAAAAAGAAGAAAGAAAGAACAACAAAAUUCCCUGAUUGGUUGCAUCGUGCUUCCAUAGAAGCUCUCUUAGUGUGAUACACUGCUUUCAAUCAGUUUAACAUGGAAAAAAGAAAGAGAUGAAAAGCAAAUUUGGUGGGGAUAAUUUCAGAAACCUCCCCUGAAGAUUUUGACUAUUCUACUGGUCUCCCUUCAGAUUUUAAAAAUUACACUAAUCUUCCUUGAAGUUAUAACAUUUAAAUUCAAUCAAUAAUUUAAAAAAUGAUAUUAUGAAAGAGAAAAUAAUAUGAUUUUAUCAUUGCCCCCCAUCUUACUACAUUAUUUAAUUAAUUUAAUAGCAACCCACACAUUAAAGAAAAAUAUAAAAUUUGUUAUUUAUCAUUAAAGAUCAAAUCGCUUAUAACAUCAAAUAAUAGUAUAUUAUUUAUAUUUUUCACUUAACAUAAUAUCCAAAUUACUCUUUUCAAUUACAUACUCAUUGUUAGACAAUCAACAACAAAUAACCAAAAAAUUUGCAACCAAAAUAUUACAAAAAAAAAUAAACUUUAACAUCAUAAAUAUUCUUAUCAACAUAUUAAAGUUAGUUACUGAAAUUUUUAUGGUGUUAAACUUCACUCUUUGUAAUAUUUUGGUUACAGAUUUUUUUUGAUUAUUUUUUAUUAAUUAUGUUUGAUGAUGGGUUUGUAAUUGAAAAGAAUAAUUUAAAACUUACAUUAAGUGAAAUAUAUAGAGUGAUAUACUAUUUUUUAUAACAUAUGUGAUUCAAUCCUUCUUGAUAGGAUUGGUAAUAGAGGUAGAGGGGGGAGUCGGCUGCAUCCGGUCUUCUUUUCAUAGAUAGUACAAUAUUGCGAAAUCAAUCGCAUUCACACAAUAAUAUUUCGAAGUCAAUGCAUGGCUAAGUUGCAUAAAAGUACGAACACUUGUUAUUAUAUAGCUUAAGAUUCAAAACUUUAGAGCAUAACCCUCCACCUAACACAAUUGAAUAAUGAAUAUUCACGUUUGUCAAAUCUGUCAAAGCACAGUUUGAGGACAACCCAUUCCAACCUGCAAAAGAUUUUUUACUUUUCUAAAGUUGUUGAGAGCUGUAAAAAGACCUACCAUGCUUACAUCCUCCGAGCCUUGGGAGUUAAAAAUGAAGGCACUGAGUGCUAUAAAAAGGGGGCUAGAGGCUGCCUAGAAGCAUAUCAGCCUAAAACAAGAAUUUGUUGUUAUGAUGGGAAGCAAAGCAAAAGCAAUGGGGUCUGGGCUGACUCCUCUUCUUGCCACUGUUUUAGUGGUAUUUGUUGCUCUUGGCUUGCCCUCAGAAACAGCAGCUGAUGAUCACUACAAGUAUUCAUCUCCUCCUCCUCCUUACCACUAUCCCUCACCACCGCCUCCAGUGCAUUUACCUCCACCAGUGUACAAAUACAAGUCCCCACCACCACCUCAUCAUGUUUACAAGUACAAAUCUCCACCACCCCCACCACCACACCCAGUUUACAAGUAUAAGUCACCACCACCACCUCCUCAUCCGGUACCACACCCAGUUUACAAGUAUAAGUCACCACCACCACCUCCUCAUCCGGUAUACAAGUAUAAGUCUCCUCCGCCACCACCACACCCAGUUUACAAGUAUAAGUCACCACCACCACCUCCUCAUCCGGUACCACACCCAGUUUACAAGUAUAAGUCUCCUCCGCCACCAGUUUACAAAUAUAAGUCUCCUCCACCACCACCUCCAGUGUACAAGUACAAGUCUCCACCAC